AUUGACUCAAAUCCUAAACUCAUUAAAUUUCUUUCAUUUGCCACACAAAAGAAGAAACAAGGAAAAGUAAUCUGUUUUCCUUGUAAAUUAAAUAGAAAAUUUACUUUGAAUAGUUAGAAACAAGCCAUUUCCAGACUCAAAAAAGUUCAGGCUUGCAUGGUUGGUGCUCAAAUCCUUCUUUUCUCUACGUACCAACAGUAAACAGCAAAGGAAGAUGCCCCCAACUUUUCAACUCCUUUUCUCCACCUAAAAAGCAAGAAAACAAGACCCUUAUAGAGAUUUUCCCCACUUCUUUUCUUUUUUCUUCUUGUAAUCCAUGCGACCCGAGGAUCUGAACGUUGAAAUGUCGUAAUACGUGUAGACAAAUAUACACUUCAUAAGCAAUGAAAAGUUAUUAUGAUUGAUCGUGGCAAAAGCACUUCGAUAACAAUAAUCCAAAACACAUAAAUCUGUAGCAAGAAACUCGCCGAGGCAAUUUUCCUGAAAACUCAUCCAAGCUGUUUUCGUCCCAAAAAAUUGCAAAAAUCUCUUCUAAACUUGAAAAUCAAGGAGUCUACCGAUAGAUAAAAAUAGUUCAAGCAAAAACAAACAACAAUAGGCUAUUAAUUUAAAAAAUCAUUGGUAAAAACUCUUAAACAUAACCUCAAAUCUGAAAAAGAUGCCUCAUUUAUCAUUGAUCCCUUGCUCUAUUGGGAAAAAACAGCAAAACCCACAACGUAUGGUUUCUUCAGAAAGCAAAAAAAAGUACAAAAGAACGCGAGCAUAAGAAAGUGGAGGAAUUAGAAGAAUCAAAACUUUUUCCUCUUUCCUUUAUUUUAUUUUAAUCAAAAUAUUUUUUAGUGCUCAACUGAUUUUUUUUCACCAUCUAUUCUCCCGUAACAAAAGGGAGAUGGAAGAAGAGAGGACAACAGGAAAGUUGAAUUUGAUGGGGAUCUCUUCAGAUAUCUCAUUGACCACGAUGGGCAAUGUAUGAGAGAGAAAGGCUAAAGAAUGGAUAGGGCUGAGUGGUCAUCUCAAGUCCAUCGCUUCUAGCAAAAGGCAUAGAUAGAUGAUUGAUUGAUUGAUUAAGAAAAGAAAAGGAAAAGAGAAAACAAAAGGGGAGAGGACGUCUCGAGACUGGAGUGAUUGGGGUCGGUGGAGCUUUCCAGUGAAAUUUUACCGAUUACGGAUAGCACAAGAAUAUAAGUUAAUUUGAACAUAAUCGUCCCGUAGUUUCUAUACUUUUUUUUGUUUUUUUUGUCGAUAUCGGGGUGUCCGGAUCAAUUCUUACGGGAUCCGAUUAAUCUCCUGCGAUCCGGGAAAGAAGGCCCCACUCCACACCAAACACGUUAACAGCGGGAUUCGAACCCUGAACAAGCCAGGAAGGUCGCCAUAUCCUAAGGAGGGGGAGCGGAUCGUUCGAACUAUCCCGUGAGGACAAAGACCAGCCACGUAGGGUGACAAGUUGUGAGAGGUAGGGGUUGAACCCUGACCUCCAGCAUCCCAAAGAAAGGGAUGACGUCCCAUAGUUUCUAUACACUUACGUGAUAUUGUAGCAACUUUUCAGCUGGAAGUAGGUGGGCUGCGUAAAACAAUUCAUAUGACUCCAUAACCAAAAGCUUUUACUGUUUCACGGAGAAAAUUGUUUCCUGGGGAGAAUCGGUCAGGAUCACGCAAACUCAAUAUAUUUUUUGACUGAAAUCUUUCUAUACUUGUGUGUCAUUUUUCCUCUGGUCGGUGAGGCGUGGUCCCUAACAUUUUCAUUUAAGAUCUUAACUACGAUGCUCUUUGUCAGAAAUUUUCCUUGAAAUGAUUAUCAUCAAUUUUGGUGCCCGCAGAAGCAUUGAAACAAUACCAAUAGGGACUAAUUACAUUGAAAUGGAAACUUGGGAAAGGGUCCAAACACCUGCAAACGCAUCAAGAAAUGUCGAAGACCAUAUGCAAAAGGAAGCCUUAAACGUCUAAUGUCGACUGACUAGAUAGAAGCAUAGUUCUUCAGCAGCACAGCUAUUUCAAUCAAAUAGUUGUAAAGCUGUUCCGGCUUAGAGAUCAUGACCAUAUGAUCUGCACCGUCUAUCACUCUAACCAAAUCAGGCGGAUUAUUUUGUACCAUCCACCUUUGAAGAUCAACCGGUAUUAUCUUGUCGUCUCCGGCUAGAAAGUAAGCUCUAGCAAUUGAUCCAAACUUCUCCUUUGUAACUAGAAGCUGUCGUCUUGAUUCAUCAUCAUUGAAAGCCUUGCCCUCUCUCAUCAACAACGAUGCAAGUGCUAAAUCCGGACGCGGCGAAUGUUGGGGUGAAUUCUUAUUUUAUGAUGGAAAAAAAAAAGAAUUCUACAACGAGGGCGAUUGUUGGAGUUGUUUCUACAAAUGAGGGUCUUCGCAUUCUGGGAAUGCGAGCUCAUUGAGCUCGCAUUUCACUGAGCUCGCAUUCCACGAAUGCGAGCUCGCAUUGAGCUCGCAUUCGUGGAAUGCGAGCUGUGUUUGGAAAAAAAAAAAAGGCUUGAGACUUGGGGCUACUGACUAUCUUGUGAAGCCAUUACACACAAAGGAGCUCUCAGAAUUGUGGAUGCAUAUGAAGAACAGGUGCAUUAUUUGUGUUAUAUGUUAUCAUACUUAAUUGGUAUAGAAGCGUUCUUUUCAAGAAUAUAAGUUUGAAAUCUUUCUUUUUUUUUUUGGGUUUUAUUUCUUCUUUGCAAGAAUCAAGAUCCUAAAGGUGUCUAAAAUAGGCUGCAAUAUUUGCACUCUGACAGGAGGAGUGAAGUUCUACAGGGAUGCUGUUCAAAGAUUAAGCAGAUCAACAUAUAAUCACAGGAUGAAAAACAUGCCGAAGUUACUUUUUCACAGCUCUAUUACUUGUGAAAUAAUCGUCAUCUUAAUUAUUGCAACAAAUAUAAAGAUCUAUCCACAAUAACUUUAACUUAUGUAGUAAUGAUUGUAUUGAUUACUUCAGCCUCCAGAAUACAAAAACUUUCACUGCCAUGCGGACUUUGAUGUUUUAGUCCUGGUGAUGUUUUGGCCUUAGGUUGAAUACAACAAUCAUUUAGGUGUCUCGAGUCAAUUUGUAAUAUAAAGCAUUUUGUAAGCAACUUCUGGGCUCAGAAGAGCUCGCAUUCCAGAGCUCGCAUUUCACGAAUGCGAGCUCUGCUGAGAGAGCUCGCAUUCGUGAAAUGCGAAGACCCUCCGACGGAUUCUCUCGCCAAAAUCACCCCUUUUGUAGAAUUUUUUUAAAAUUCAUCACAAAGUUAGAAAUUUCUCCGAAUGUUGAUAUAGUGUUUUAAGAGGAUCCAAAAGGUUUCCAUCUGUGGUAUUGUAGUGCUCCAGGAGCUUGUAUAUACUCAGCUCAGGUCCAAGCAUCUGUGCUGCAACAAAUACUGCAAACGCGAUUUUUUCAGGAAAUCUUUCCAUGGCAGAGGAAACCGCGAAGCCACCCAUGCUGUGGCCAACAAGAAUGACCUUAUCAUCGGGCGAUAGAGCCUUUAGAUACGAGUAUAGAGGUUCAUGAUAGUCGUCAAUGGUGUGCAAAUCUGACACCUGUUUUGUAUCAAUCCCGGAGGCAGCUAAGUCCAGGGCUGUAACUUUGUGCCCUGCAUCUUGCAGGAGAGAUACCAACUUAUACCAACACCAUGCUCCGUGACAAGCACCAUGAACGAGCACAAAGUGUCCUGAUUUUGCAGAUAUCGAGGGCCAAAGAAUCAAAGAAAGCAGCAGGAAUAGUUGUGCCGACGGUGGCGAAACUUUUGUUGCCAUCCUUAUUCUUUAGCUUGUGAAUUUGCUAAAUGGAUGUUGUGAUUAGCACUUGAGCUGCUCUCAAAGGGCUCCUUUUACAUUGAGAGUCAAAAAUACAUAAGUUGUAUGUUUUUUUUUUUUGGAAAAUUUCUAAAAAAGUGUAUGCAUCGCAAAACAAAAUUCACGAGGAAGAUGCAUUUUUUUCCAUAUAUUGUUACAAGUAGAGGUGGCAAUAUGGAUAAAUGGUUCAUAAUUGGUUUUGACUUAAUGGAUGGUGGAUGAAAGUUAUCCAAUCCAUUUAGAUCCAUUUAAUAAAUGGAUCUAAAUGGAUGGAUCUAAAUGGAUUAAAUAAAAACUAAUUAUCCAUUUAUAAUCCAUUUAUAUAUUUUGGUUAUUUUUUUUUGUAUUACCAUUUCUUGUAAUAUGAAAAUACUUUUUUAUGUACUUGUAAAUUUUAGGUGUAUAUGAAUGAGAAAAAGGACAAAAUACUUAGAUUUUAUAUGUGUGUGUAUGUAUUCUUUAUUACUCGUCAGAUAUUAUAUUUUUCAUUCCAUAAAGUAAGUAUACAUCAAUAUAAAUCAGAAUUAUUCAGUCUUUAAUUACUCUUCUCCAGCCACAGAUUAUAAUCUUUUUAACAUUUCUAUAGACGCUUUUAUCUCCAAAUGAUCCAAAAUAAAAUGUCUAUGAUAGACGUGAAGUUAAUAACCAAACAACCUUAAUUUUCUUUCCUGAGUGCCUGAUAUAUCAAUUAAGCACUGCAAUUUAUUACUACUACUAAACUGGUCCAAGUCCAAGAAGAGGAGAAGGACAAGGUCUUUAAUCUGUUAAUUACAAGUGUAAAAGUAGAAAAAGAGAAAAAUUAAUAAUAAUAAUGAUCCACCGCACGAAAGGAUAAACAAUGAAGAUAAACCAAAGAGAAACUAAUAAAGGUGGCUAAGAUUACUGGUAGUGCAAAAUAUUUACUGGGACUUUCUUUUUUUUUUUAAUCGUUAUUAUUAGGUAAAUACACAUACAUGUGUGGGUGCAGACUGUGCAGUUAAUAUAUGGUUAAAUUAGUUGGUCCCGUUUUGUUUGUGUGCGGGUCUAAGUCUGGUGACUCUCGCUGCUCAAUAACGUGAAGAAAUAUAUGGUUUUAGUUAUUUCCUUUUCAUUUCUUUUAUUUGGUUUUUAAGUUUAUGGAUAAUCCAUAUAAAUCCAUUUAAUUUAAUGGUUUUACUUUGGUCAAUCAUUUAAAAUCAAUACUAUAAAUGGAUAAUCUAAAUUCAUUUAAUUAUGGAUUAUAUGGAUGAAUAACUGGAUUUCAAUCCAAAUUGCCACCUCUAGUUACAAGCAUUAAUCAAUGUUACGUAAAUACAUUUUGUACAAAAGGUUGCAUUUCAAACACGUAAUCUUUCAUGUUCGCAAUUGAUGUCCUUGUAAAGACUGGCAUAGGAGUACAUGCAUUCCACGUUGCAAGUAUUUGUUUCGGUAAUUUUUGUGCCAAAGAUAGUUCCUAAAGUAUGAUAUACCAAAACAAUCAAUUAGUGAAUGGUAUCACUUGACAUUAUAAUUAAUUGAGUAUAAAUUAUAAUUCGAUGACGUAAAAUAUCUUUUUAUUGGAAAUUGGAAAAAAAUUAUCUUAUAAAUCUAUAACUAACGUAAUAUGUCUAAUAAUUUUUUGAUAUGACCUAAAUUUAUAUUAGUUUGAAAACUAACUUUGUUUUUUUUUUUUUUAAUUAUCUUACAUGAUUUCAAAUGACUAAUUUCCGUAAAACAGAUCCUAUCAUAAUGACAUUCGCAUCUCAAAGUUCACAUUCAAAACGUAGAGUUCGAAUGGUAGGAAGUGCAUAGUUGCUAUGCUUCACUUGCAAAGCCAGGACAGGGGCAAAUGAGUCGAGCUCAAUCAACUAGUUGGUGAGUUUGUUCGGUCACAUUAACCUCAAAAUGUUCGAGCCUAAUGAGUCGACCAAUUGUAAAUCCUAUCAAGCUUGAGUUCGAGCCUAAUAUGCAAAGAUUAAAAACUUGCCGAAUUUAAUCAAACUCGAUUGAGUUUUACAUAUAAAUGUUUUUUUUUUAUUUGUCAGUAUAAAAUGCCGAUUUUGCCUCUUGCUUAAAAUAUAAAAUAUAAAUUUAUGUUUCUUAAAUUCAAUUAUGCUCAAUUGAGCUUGAAUUAAGUUUGACUAGACUCAAAAAAAAAAAAAAAAAGUUUGACUAGACUCAAUUUGCAUGAAUUCGAACUCGAGCUUGAAUAAGGCACAAUAAAAUCGAAUUUGAGUUCAAACUCGACUUUUAAAAGUUCGAUAAGUUAGAGAUUGAGGUUGAAUCCAAGUUUUUUAAUUCGAGCCGAAUUCAAAUAAUGUACUGCUUAAUCUCGACUUGAUUUGAUUUGUACCCUUCUUCAUGACUAGAGGUGGCAAAUCAACCCACUUAACUAGAUUUACCCAUAUCCGCCCAUGAAUAGAUGGGUAUGGGUAUCUUAAAUUUUUGUAUAUGGGUAUAAAUGGGUUACCCAAUAAUACUCAUUUAUUAAAUGGGUAUUAUUGGGUAACCCAUCAAACCCAAUUAACCCAUUUAAAAUUCUCUUCCCCCCAAGUCUCUUCUUUUCCCCUACCUUUUUUUUUUCAAAUUUUUCAUUUUGUCAUGAUGUUAACAUUAUUAUUAUUAUUAUUAUUUGUUGGUUUUAUCUUAUUAUUUUAUUUUUUCUUAGUUUGUUAACUUGCUCAUUUUUUAGCAUUACCAAUUUAUGAUAAAUUUUAGCUUAUUUUCUUAUCUUUAUAAAAUGAAAUUUUAAAUUUAUAUAUGAAAAAAAUGUUAGGGGUUCAAAAUUUUUGGAUUAAGUUUUUAUAUUAAUUUUUAUAGUACUUAAUUCAAAUUUUUAUAUUCGUAUUAUUCAAUUAUUAAAUAAUAGGUAAUUUUGUAACAUAGAGUAUAAAUGAAAAAAAUUGGUAAUUAAGUUUAUUGAACAUUAUAAGUAAAUAUUUAAAACUAAUGAUGGGUACAAAGAGUGGUAUAAAUUGAUAACUUAGUUUGCAAAAAUGAAUUUAAAUGAGUUUGCAAAAAGUUAAAAUAAAUGAGUUAUAAAUGGGUAAUUGGGUUACCCAAUUCAUUUUUUGACUUACCCAUUUAUACCCAUCUAAUUAAAUGGGUAUAAAUGAGUUGACUCACUUAUAUCCAUUACCCAUUUUACCCAACCCAAACCCGCCCAAGUCACCCAUUUUGACACCUCUAUUCAUGACCUUAUCCUUUGUCAUCUCUUACGCCAUUGUGAGUAACAUGUAAUUUCUGUGAAACACGUAUUUGGUGGUGGAUAACUCAAUAGACUCGAACACGAGCCCCAAAUAAACUGAGUUGCGUGGUACAAAGUAGGGUCCGUGUUCUAGUUUUUAAAUGCGUUUUCCCGAAUCAGAAUGCAAGUGAUCGAUAUUGCUAGAGGCUUCUAUUGCUUUUCAAGAUUGGAUUCAGGAAAAAUACUCAGCCAAGGAAAGACUAGGCUCUAGAGACCUUAAAAAUACUGAUCUUUACAUUUUUUCUUCUUUGAUGUUGGAUUUUUGGUUGACUUUACUUAGUUUUUUCCCCUAAAUUUCUAAAGCUUUAAUAUGAGGAGCACUUUAUUAGCAAUUUUGGAGGAUGGCUCUUUGUGGUCUUCAAAAGUUAGAGAAAGGUGGACAUGAGAGAAUGCAUGAAGUGAUGUAAAAUAUCAUGUGUAUCUAGUUGACACUUGACAGACAGCUGCCAAAAUGGUUGAGGUGAUGGUGAUGACAAAUUGGCAGUGGUGGCUGAUUUUUCUGAUCAUGGGGAUGCUGGCUGGUUGUGCAUAUCUUUCUCAUCUGUUCUUCUGACAUUCAAAACAGCUAAUGGAAAAAUGCAAACCAAUUAAGCAUUGUCACUUUAAUGUUUAGUAAAUGAAUUCACUAACUCCAACUUAACAUUGCAGCAGAGCAGCUAACCAAACAUCUCAAGAUCAUAUAUGACUGAAUCACAAACACUUGGUACACAUAUAAGGUUGAUUUCUAUUCUACGUGAAAUCACAAUCACGCAGUUUCUCAGUGCAUUCUACUGAAAUAUCUUUCAAUGUGCCCUUUUAUAUCUUUUCUCCAGACUUUUGUCAGAUUUUAUUGCCAGCACCAAGUAUCCAGAAAUUUUUGACAGGUAUUAAUUAGCAGAUUAUCUCAACGAAGAAGAUGAAGAAGAAUUAGCAUUAGAAUUAUCAGAUGAAGACAACUACCCCACCAAUUAUUUCGAUGACUUGGGGGCAAAAGAAUUACACAACAUAGAAAAACAUGAUGGAAGGAUAAGUAAGCCAACCCACUCAGCCUUGUCUGCCACAACCGGAUUCCAAGACUAUGAGAUCCGAAGAAAGCUAGCUGUAAAACCUUAUUACAUCCGAAGAAAGCAUUUCAUGCGGUUUUUUUUGUCAGAAAAAUCAUUAUCAAGAACCCACUGCAUUCGAUCGUUAAUUAACCCUGUCGUGUCCAGAGGAAGGCAUGCAUCAAAAUCAGUCUGCAACGAACCCGACUACACGAACGAGUUUUCUUGCCGGCUGACAAACCAAAGACCAUUAGAGUUGCUGAAAAUUAUUGUACAACCGAUCCAUAUUCACUGUUGAUAAGACAACUCGCACAUUUAGCAUAGAACUUUUAGUGAGACUGACUACCUCACGUUGGUCAUCCGUUUUGAAUCCAUCAAUAUUUGUCAUCUUCAACGAACUUUGCUUGCAUGUUGUAGAAACCUGAGGCAUAGCUGAUCUCUGAACCUGAGGCAUACCUCAUGUUGCUUUUCUCAUAGUUGUAGGCCCAGUGAAGACAAAUAACACUCGAAUUCAAUAAUAUGAUUGUUAUUAUCAACAAAUAUAAUACAAUUGUGGGGCUCAACCAAUUGAGUACAAGACGACAUGCAGCUUCAAGCAACAAGAUUUUGAUUACUUAUCCAACUAAAACUCUUGAAAAAGACCCAAGUGUUGUGCAAGUUUAAGUGCUAAUUAAUUUGAUCAAAUUUGACAUAAAGGCGAGAGCUACAUCUCGAUUCUCUUUGCACUUUGAAUUUUUAAUCUCUAAGUUCAAUCAUUUGCAUCGUAAGCAAAAUUAGCGGAAUUAAUUAAGGAGAGUGCACAUAAUGUACAAGUAUAGCGAUUGCGGGUCAGUAAAAAGACUAAUUCCACUUUAUAUCCUUUAACUUGAACUUAAUUUUUACUUUGCACCCUACCCUAUACCCUAAUCUCUCCAUUAUCAAUACACUAGUCUUGUCUUACCGAGUCUUUGAGUUAAAUCCAAACUCAAUUGCCAACAAAAGAGAGCAGAUCUAACAGAAAUUUGGAAAAAUGAGGGCUUCAAGCGGAUCUAACAAAACACUACGGAUUCCAAACUUAAACUUAGAAAAAGUUUCCAGAGAAUGUGCCAAACACCAAAAUAGUGAAGUUAAUUAAUCCCUUGUAUUGGAAGGAUCAACACCAAUAUGUAUCGUCGGUUGCCCGCUAAUUUAAUUUGGCUACAGGGCCAACAAUUCGUCUGCUCAAGGGAAAUUUGCUGUGAAGUAAACGUUGUUAAGAAUCCGUUUAACAUUUGAAUAUAUUUUAUUAAUGGAAUUGGUGUUGCAACACAUCAAUAAUCAACAAUUUAACAUUUGAAAACUGCCAACUAAACUUAAGAAUUAUUAGUACUAGUGGUCGAGGCACACUCAAUGCAUGUACACUACGUUAAUAUGAUAUACCAAAAAAAAUGAUAUCCUAAUAAAUAGAUCCUUAUAAAGGUUCAUCUUUUACCAUCAAUGGUUCAAGAAAUAUGCACUCCUCAAAUUAGAAAAAGGGAAGGUAAAAAAAAAGGCAUGAAAGGGAAAUUUGCUAUUAAGUAAACGUUGUUAAGAUUGCAGAAAUAUCCCACAACUAAACAGAAGAUCCUCAAGUUAAUAAAUACUAUAUGCAAAAAGAAAAGGUAAGUUAAAAAAAAGUACCUAUACAUAUGUUGGAAUGUGAAGGCUGAGGCUCUUUCAAAUUUAAGAAGUCCAAGCCAAAUUGCAUCCCAGAAUUGACAACAAAGAAUGAACUUUGCUCCAUAGUUGGUUUUGUUCUCCUUGAAGCCACGAAAACCGAGUUUUGUAUUAACAUUUUGUGAUGCUAAAUUCUUUUCUCUAGUUUUUUUUUUUUUAAUUAUUGAAGUUGGCAAUCCUAGAAAACUUAGAGGAGAAAAGAAUGCAUGGUAACACCAGUUGGCUGGGGAUAUGGAAGUUGUUCGAGAUGGUUGCAUGGUACUUGACUAGGGGAGCAUGGAAAUUGAAAUUGUUGUAUGGUGCUCCAUCAUGCAUAGGCAAAAUAGGGAUAACACAUAAUGACAAGAUUUUUUAAUGCCAAACCCAGCAUAACAUUGAACAAUUAAGUGCAGUGUACAAUAAGCAAAUUCAGAGAAAAGCUAAGGAUGGCAAGAAAACUUUCACUACUGUCAAGUGUCAACACCACUACUGAUCUUCUUGAAUUCUUGACCAUUUGGCCCUUGACACUAUUGAUGACCAUCAUGAACCUCAAUAUACCUAUCUAGAGGCUCUAUCCCUCAAUGAUAAGGUCAUUCUUGUUGGCCACAGCAUAGGUAGUGGCUGUGCAGUUUCCUCUGCCAUGGAAAGAUUUCCUAAAAAAGUAGCAUUAUGCGGCAUCUAUUGCAGCGUUUAUGCUUGGACCUGAACUGAGCACACACAAACUCGAGGUGCAUUACAAUCUGGGGAUAGAUAUUUACGAAGACAGCAAAUUUACAACAGAUGGAAUCCCUUUUGAUCUUCCAUUAACUCUCCUGUUUGGGGCUAACUAUAGUGAAAGACGCAUCUUUGUUGAUGAGAGAGGCAAAGUUCUUCAACGAUGAUGAAUUGAGACGACAACUUCUGGUUACAAUGCAGAAGUUUGGAUUAAUUGCUAGAGCUUGUCCUGUUGCCAGAGAAGAUAAGGGAAUACCACCAGAUCUCCAAAGGUGGAUGGCACUACAAAAUAAUCCGCCUGAUUUGGCUACACUAAUUAAUGGAGCAGAUCAUAUGUUCAUGAUCUCUAAAACCAGAAAAGCUCUACAGCUAUUUGCUCCAAAUUGCUGUGCAGUUGAUGAAUCAUGCUUCUAGCUAGUCAGUCAACAUUGUAUUUUAUGGCUGGCGUAAAAUUUUACUUUUUUUUUUUUGGUGUGUUUGCAAGUCUUUGGAUCCUUUAUUUUCGUUAUAUCUUUUGUUACUUAUGAAGAGCAUUGGUGUACACAUGUACAAUGGUGGAUCUACCUGCCAAAGGAAACUUUCACUUUUAGGUAUAAAAUUUUUUUAAAAUUUUAUUUUUGCCUUACCAAUUCAUCUAUGUAUCCCUCCUGACCAAAGUAAAAUAUACAUUGCACUAUUGCAGGUAUCAGACGGUAGAAAAUUUAUGUUUUUACCCAUAUAAUUAGUAGAAGUUCAAUACAUUAUGUACCUACGAGUAAUUUGAUAACAUUUUUCAAUUAAAAAAGUGAAUACUACAAGAACAAAUUCAAUACUUUAGGGAGUUUAGUUUACUUGUAAGCUUUUCUAUAUUAAGAAAAAAAAACGUACUUUAAUGAGUUAAGAGCAUUAGAGGAUUCUUUAUAUUCUCUUAUUUUAUUCUUUUUAAUAAUGCAUGUUGCUAAUUGCCCUAUACAAAUAUUAUUAUUGCGCCUUUCUUUUUCUUUACUGCAACCUAAACCAAUUAUUCUAUCCAAAGCUGUUUUACCUGUUGAUUUUCUCAAACUAAUAGGCCCAGUGCACACAAAUAAUACUUAAACUCAUAUGUAUUAUUAGCAAAUACAGCACAGUACUUUUGGGACACAACCAAUUAAUUGAUCACAAGAAGAUAUGCAGCUUCAAACAACAAGAGUUGAUGACUUGACCAACUAAAACUCUAAAGAAAGACAAGGCAACUACCUUCUCGCUAUUCUUCAUUUGAGGUAUACUCUGUCGUACAUAUAUGUGACUACAGCCGGAAGUGAAACACUUGAACAAUGUAACAUUUUUUUGAACGUUCUGUAAUUGAGUAAAUCUUUCCUAUACUAAUUGUGUAUAUACUAUCACCGUUAGAUCUGUGAAACAUAUACAAAAAUUGAAUUUCAAAUUUAAAUUUAAAUUUUGCAUAGUUGUCAUUCAUCCAACGCUGACAGUGUAUACACUGUCCGUAUUAAAAAGAUUAAUCCUUUGUAAUUUUAUGUAAACUUUUUGUACAUCCUUACAACAGAGGUGUGAUAUUUUGUUACUAUUUAUAUAGAUCUCAUAUAUAAUAAUUGUGUCUCUAUUAUUAAAUUUUUCAAGUAAUUUACGUAGAAUUACGCCUUAUUCAAAAAAUAUUAUAUCGUUUAAAAUGAUUGUUACUGAUAACUAUUCGUGCCCUUGAUCCGCUAGAACCCAAGAGGGCAGCGCACUUACCUUACAUUUGAUUAACACUUGGGGCUAUUUAUAGUUUUGAUAGGAUGGUUAACAAGAAAACUACAAACCCAAAGCUUACUAAUGUUGGAAGAGGGGUUGGGAGACGGGUAGGAAUGAUUGCACUAACAGCAUAUUUCGUUUCAAAGGAGUUGUAAUCUAUCACAAAUUAACUUUUGCAUCUUUUUAACAGGAAAAUUAGAGAAUUUCGCCAAUUUGAUCCCUAAACAUUUUCACUUAAACCAAUUUCGUCCUUAAUGAAAUAUUUUAACCAAUUUAGUCCUUGAACUAGUUUUUUACUUCCAAUGUAGGACUUUUGACUACAUUUUACUCCCUUCGCGUGGACCAACAGGGGUAUAAUUGUCACACUUGCUUAAUCUGCUGCAAUUAUUCGAAAGACACAGAUUACAGAUCAUAUACACCCGAAAUUAAACUAGCUAUACUCAGGCCACUUCAUCGUCAGAUGUUUCGAUACCCCAAAUACAAAGGGCUACCCGUGUUUUUGUGUAAUUUAGGCGGCGGCGGCGAUGAUGAGCUGGGGAGUCGAGCUUUUAGCUUUCCGUUUGUGGGUUUUUCUGGGGUUUUAGAUGGAGAGGAGAACUGUGUUAGGAGAAUUGCGGAAGUUAUGGUACCGAGGGAUAAUAUCAAAGGGAGGAGGAAUCCUCUGCUUGUUGGCGCAUGUGCUUAUGACGCUUUGAGGACUUUCUUCGAAACGCUGCAGAGGAGGCGGGGCUCGGGUAUUCUUCCUCUGGAGCUGUUUGGUGUGGGCGUAGUUUGUCUGGAGAAUGAGAUUUUGAGGUUCGUCAGUGGCACGUGUGAAGAGAGUUUUUUGAAGUUGAGGUUUCGGGAGGUUGAUAAAAUGGUGGAAAAUUGUGUCGGAGCAGGGGUGGUGGUGAAUUUUGGUGAUUUAAGGGCAAUGGCUAAGGAGGACGCGCCAGUUGAUGUUCUGAGGCUUGUGAUUAGCGAAUUGACGAGGCUGGUGGAGAUUCAUGGAGACAAAGUAUGGUUGAUUGGAGCGGCUGCGAGGUACGAGACGGAUUCGAAGCUUUUGAAUAUGUUUCCCUGCGUUGACAAGGAUUUGGGCCUGCAGCUUUUGCCUAUUACUACUCUGAGACUGUCUGCGGCAGAGUCAUACCCAAGAUCCAGGUACGUUUGCCCUUUUGGUGUCUUUGUGAUCGUUUAACUUUUUUCACUUCUAGUUAGUAUUAAUGUUUGAGGUGUUUUUUGCAAUUUUUAAAUUGAACACGGAACGCAACCAUCAGAGGCAAUGGACAAUGGCGAAUCUGACGCUGUGUAAUGAUCUGUAAUCUGUGUCUUUCGAAUAAUUGCAGCAGAUUAAGCAAGUGUGACAAUUAUACCCCUGUUGGUCCACGCGAAGGGAGUAAAAUGUAGUCAAAAGUCCUACAUUGGAAGUAAAAAACUAGUUCAAGGACUAAAUUGGUUAAAAUAUUUCAUUAAGGACGAAAUUGGUUUAAGUGAAAAUGUUUAGGGACCAAAUUGGCGAAAUUCCCGGAAAACUAUAUUCAUUCACUGUUCAAAACUACGUAGAUGUGAGUUGUAUCAAAAUUACGAGACAUUGUUUGGACCUUACAUUCUAAAUUUCUGCAUUAUUAAUUGGCCAAAUAUUAGUGACCAUACCUUGUUAUUGGGUCCCAAUCCCUUGCUGCGCUACCCUUUUUGUUUUGUGUUUAUGGCGAUAAAAUAUCACCGGAGGAAUUACCUACACCGACAUUGCUAUAUAUUUUGGUCCAAAUUAAACAAAUAUUGAUAGUUUCAUUUUGUUUCCACAAAUAUGGAAACAGAAUUCUCAAACUUUAUAGUCGACUUAGAAAUCAACCUUUUUUUUCUCUUUGUCUCUUCAUGCCCAGUCUAACGCCUAUUGACAAUAAGUUCUUCACAAGGGGUAAAGAUUCAGUAUUAUUUGAGGUUAAGCACUACUUCAACCUAAACUAAGAGUGAGAGUUACGUCUAGAGUUUAUACGAACCACCUUUAGAAUUCUCCGCAUCCUACGUAAUGAUGGGAGCCAUAUGUAAAACUAGUAGAGCCCUUGUUAGGAUGAUAUGAACUGGGUUGGAAAGCCUGCAUGAGGUUUAGAAUGAUAUGGACUGUCCAUGUGAGGAUUGUUAAGGCCUUGAGGGGCUGAUGUCAACACCCAACAUCGGUAAGGAUGACCUGGAUAGCGUAACCUGCACAUAAAGAAUUCCUCAAGAGCUUAAGAGCAUUGCAAAGCACUAAUGUCCAGCCACCUCAAACGAACAAUUCUUAUAUUAGGAAAAAUUUUGUACUACAUGAACAAGACUUGGACUGACGAAAUUCAUGUUUAUCACAAAUAGGAUAUCUGUGGCUAAAACAUUUUGACAUGUUAAAAAAAUCAAGUUAAUGAGAAAAGGUCUGUUAGUGUUGAGGAAUGUUUUAGCAAUAUAUAAACAAGAUAGUUCCAAAUCUCUCUCUAAGGUUUGGAACACAUUUAAUUUUAAAUUUGAAGCCACUAAGACCAUGACAUGAGUACCUAGUAUGAUAUGUAUUCAACUUCAAUGAUUGGUAAUUCAGCGAACUCAACUCAAACCCUCAAUUUUGGAGCAUGAUAAAUAUUCUAUCCCAACAAAGAGCAAGCAAAACAAAAAACAACCACAGUCUACAGCAUGGACUAGAUAUUUGGGUUUACAUGUUACUGUUCCCAAAAAAAAUAUAGAAUAAUAAUGUAACCAAAAAAAAAAAGCUUCAACAAUUAUUAUUGAAAUCUCAUAAUCCUUGGAAUACAAUCACUGACAAUUGCAACCAAACCCAAUUUCUCCACAAAACUAGUUAGAAGGGUUUGAUACCUUUGUACCAUCAGGCGCCCAAGUGCAACAAUUUCUGAGCGGAACUGAAGAGCAUGAAAAGCAACACGACAUCUCAGCCUCUGGUAUUCACCCAGGCUAUUAGGAAGAAUGGACUGCAAGUAGUGACAAAGUAAACACCUUUGGCCAGUUAGGGCAAUUAGUGAACUUUGCAUAUGUAAAUUACAGUUAAUGUUCAGAUGAUGCAUGAAUAUAUCCUUACAUUUGAGAUGAUGAAAAAGUACACCACAUGACAAAUACAAGGUUAAGCAAAUACAUAUAAAUCAAGGAGGAACCACUUCAGACACUACUUUCACACCUUUUUUAUUAUGUUCCAGAUAUAACUAAAAGAUCACAGAACUGCAAAAUAAAUUCUAAUGUUAAACUGCAAAUUAGGUAAUGGUAAAUAUGACAUUUAUGUCUUUUCUGCACAUUCAAGAAAGUUAUAAGAAUAAACUAUAUAUUCUCUUCAGGGUUCCUUUCUGAUGCUGGAGCAUUUUAGAUCUUAAUUUGUUUUCAUUAGUAUAUUAUUUGUUAUUAUUUGCUGCUAAGCAUGCAGUAGCAUUAUUAACUGUUCUGCACAGCUGGUGCACAUCUUCUAGGCAGGUGCCUUAUUAAGAGUCUCUCUGUUUUUGUCACUCUUAAGACAACAAUAUGUUUGGAUCCCCAUACUCAUCUUAUUGACUGCAGUCACGCAGUUUUGAUAUCAGUUCACUACCUAAACUUGUAUCAGCUCCCUUGGGCUAUUUUGUAGCCUAGAAGCUAAUCCCCUUCAAACUCUUAUGAUUUCUCUUCAUCUAUCCUAGUAGUCUAGUGCUGUUAUUGUAAAGGUCCUUUUAGUUUUCUUGCACAACUAUUUCGCAUUUGAUACGCACAUUAGAAGUUCUAGUGUGAACUAUUUUCAGAAGGUUCCAAGCCUUUAAUACCAUCCACAAAGUUCACAAAUUUGAGAAGGUGCAACUACGAAAAUAAUGAUCUAACAUUCUGCAAAAUUCAUGUUACUCUACCAUGUAUGAGCUAUACAACACUCUGGUGAGCAAGUAUUUCAACUCACUGAACAACCUUAAAGAAAAGCAAAGAAGAAACAAAAGCUGAUAUUAGUAAUCCUACAUUCUUCCGUAAAACAAGGGCCACAUAAGGACCCAGUUUUCAAAACCAACGUUCAAAAAAAUUUAAGAACUUAUAUCAAUUAAGAAGAGUACCAAAGAUUAAAAUAUUCUCAUUAUGAACUGGCCCGGGCUAGCGUUUUUACAAGAAAUAUCUAGCCAACAUUUUACAUAGUCCAGCCUUCCCUUCUGUAGUUUUUAAAACACUCCAGUUAGUUAAAUACAAUUGACCAUGUUGCACUUGAUAUGAAACUGGUAGGCAAGUUUCCUUAGCUUUAGAAAAUUCAAGGCCAUGGAUAUUUCAACCAUUAUGAUAUCUCAAGGAAAAUCAGUAUAAUUAUACCUCAACAUUAACAUCUGAAAAUCAAAUCACACAGCUAAAAAGCAUAUGAAUGUUUUAUGGCAUUACCUACAGCACAGCAAUAACAUUUUAACUUGAAUUGGACUCUGACUGUCCUGAAUUUUAGAUAGUUGGACCUAAGCACUGCUGAGAUUUUCGUUAGGCCAGUGUAACUACAAAUUCCCAUGAAAGAAGUUUGGAUGAUGUCACGUUGAAGAUCAGACUUGACAUAUGAGCCCAAAUGGGCUAAUCGAGGAUCACUCUUCAGAACCAGAUUUAUAAGCUUAACGAAAGGCACAGAGGAAAAAAAAAUGAAAGCUUGCCAGAAGCAAACAGGAAAAUGGCUUUCCACUCUCAGUUUUGGUCUAGAAGCAGCAGUCUAUUGGAUUUAUUAGCAUAACAGCAAAUUAAGGUAAUAUCUUUAAUCCCAUAGUUAUUUCUUUUCAAAAUUUUAUUAGACACAACCCAAGUUGCAUGCAUAAUACAUUCAGUUAGAAAAAAUCUGUUCAAUAAUUGAGUUCAUAAAGGAAUAGUUGGAACUCUAAUUACACUUGAACACCACCAAUUGUCUAAUUGGACUAAAGAGAGAGAUAGAGAUAGAGAGAGAGAGAGAGAGAGAGACCUGUAGGCAUCCUCCAUCAGUAACUAUGAGCCCAACGACCUUAGCUUUCUUUAGUUUGGGUAAAACAUUGGUCAGGUAAAAGCUUGGAGGAGCUGAAUGUUGGGGUCUGAAAGUUGGAAAUUGCUUCUGCUUUCUGGCAUCCUUGUGAUUUGGGGGAAGAUCCUUCACAAUGAUUACAUCAGUUGCUAGAGCUGCAAUGAACUGCUCCUCAUUGUAGAUAUAUGAAAAGCUUUUGAAGUUGGAACUGCAACUUGCAGAUAACAGUUUUAAAAUUCACUCAAGCAUGCAGAUAACUCUAGUUUUUAUUCGCUCAAAAACAAUAACAACCUGAUUCCUUUUGAGCGAAUACUUUGUUGAAUCUCAGGGAUAACAAGGGUAGCAUUUAGAAGUCUUGCAACAGCGACCAGGUCACAAAUCUAAAAUGUUUCUCAACGGUUACAAGCUUUGUGAGGGUAAGAAACGAGGGGAAAAAAGGCACAAGAAAAUGCAAACCAAUAGAAGAGGAAUAUUUAAGCAUACUGAAUUCCUGAUCUUCUCAAAGCCCCCAAAGAUUUUUGCAUAAAUGAAGCCAUUGUUCUGUGUGAUUGGAACUGAGACAAUAAAGAAAAUGAUGUCAAAUGGAGGCAACAAUAGUACAACUCAAAAUAAAGGAAGCAACAUCAGGUGAUGAUACAAUACAGGAUGUCCAGUAUGACAUUACCAUUAAUCAAGGUGAAAUGUUAACAGGCAUUGCCACAUUUUUUGUCACCUUUGACUUUCCUAUUGUAAAUGCGCAAACACCUACCUUUAGAUGUCUGGAAGCAAGCAAUAACAGAAUAUGGACCAAAACUUGAAAUUUUCAGGAUAAAUCCUAAGUUUUGUGGAAAAAGGGUUGAUAGUAACACAAAACUUAUUCAGAAGAAUGAAGACCGAAAUGCAAAAUAUAAACACAAAAUCAGAAGUGCCACCAUAAUAUAAGAGAGUAGUUUUCAUUGAAGAUUAUAGCUCGUUCUAAAAUACAGCUUUCUUAACCUAUCUUUUGCUUGAGAAAAACCUUAGAUAUUGAUCAUUUCUAAGCACAGACAAGCGGAAUAAACUACCAAAAUGAAUGUUUGCAAACAAGUUAAUGAUGCUGAACUAACUAAUAACUAGUUAUACCCUAACUAAUAAUUAAAAUUAAAAUUUCACAAAGUAAAAUCUCCGCAUUUAUGACGCACAUUACCAGGAUAUGCACUUCUUGGUUUCGCAUAUGGAUGCAAUCCUUCCAAUGCCUUGACCUUUCCCCACAACUUCUUAUUCACCGGAACCUAUUACCAAUUAUUCAAAACAACACAACACCAUCAAAAAUACAGUCAUAUUCAGAUGCUCAAGUAACCUCUUAUCCCUAAUUUACCUUAACAUCUUCAGCAGGAAUGAAUUGACUCCAACUUUUAGUCAUGAAUGGAAUUCCAGCGUAAUGAACAAUGUUCGCACUCGACUUUGCAAGAAAUAAAUGCACUAACAAAGAUACAAAUGAUAACACUAGCCCUCCCAAUGCCGCCCAUUUUAUCUUCGAUUUCAUCUCCCCCCAAAAUUACUCCAAAGAGCCAACAAACAAUCUGCCAAAAAAAUUAACAAAAAUUAAUCAGAAUAAGCAAAAAUAAUCAAUUUCAUAAAACAAAAUUAAUAACUUGAAUUAAGCAAAAACAAAAAAAGGAAUCGGUAAUAUACCAGCAAACUUUGGAGGUAACCAAUUUCAAAAUUAUUGUAUUAGGCAAUGGCAAGCAUGAAUAGAAGGAAAAAAGGGCAAAUUAGGGUUUAAGAAAUUGAAAUUCUGAGUUCUGAGCGGAAUCGCGAAAACCGAAGCUGGAUCGAGAUGAGCUAAACGACGCCGAAUAUACAUAACAUAUAUAUAUCUGUAUGUAGGAGAAAGUAGAGUUGGGAAUCCGUGUAUGUAGAAGGUUUAACUGUGUGAAAUCAGAGUGUGUAUUUUUGUGUUUGAAGACUCUAAGAGUGUGAAAGAAGCGAAGAAGAAGAAAGAAGAAAUGGGGAGCUGCCGAGAGAGUUCAAUGCCGGGACUUUAGAAUUUAGAUUUGGCCCUUUUUUCAAGAAUUUAAUUUUGGAUUUUCUUGCUUUCUUGGAUAAUUAGAUUUGGCCGUCUAAUAUUUCCUUUUUAGGCAAAAUCCUGUUUUUGGGUCCCCCUAUUUUGGGUUGGUACGGGGCUUUUUUUUUUGUUUUUUUUUUUUUGUGUGGAUACUGUUUGUUUUCAAUUUUCAUCAUACAUGCCACCAUAAACUAUACUAUGCCCUUUAUGUAUUAUAGAAUUCUGUCUAAAAUGAUACUAAAAUCUUCUCCAUGGUUCCUUUUAAGCCUUAAAAAUUUCUUGAGCAUAUAAGCCUUAUUGGAUGCAAAAAAGGAUGAUGUUUGAAGUAGAGACAUGGGAAAAAAAGAAAAGAAAAAAUUUUGGAUUAUGAUUUUUUACAAAAAAAAAUUUAUAUUUUUUGUGAACACAUUUUUCAAUCACUCUUUUACCUCACAUACAUUAAAUUACUACGGUACAUUUUCCUACAAAAACUUCUAAAAAUUGCAAUCCAAUCAAGCUAAAAAGGACUAUGCGUUGUUUUCGGAAGCAAGGGAAGAUUACCUACACAAAACACUAUUCACGUACAAAAAUAAAGAAAAACACUGUAUAUAAUGACUACAAGAUUCUAUAAUUGUUUUAACUAUAGUAUUUGGUGACUAAUAUGGAAAUAUUUUAACGAACAUUUUGUGAUAAAUUUGCAUGAUUCGAUGAUUGAAAUUUUUUGUAGAAAUAGAUUUAUUCAUGGUAAAGGUAUAAAUGACUUGAAUUAAACCAAAUACUUUUGUUAUACUUUUGACAAUUGAUUGAUUUAUUUAUUAAAUUCAACUAAAACGAAUUAUUAACAAGUUGAGCUCAAAUACCUUGAAGUUUUGACAUAUAAAAUUCCAAAUUAUGCUAAUUCAAUCAAGAUCAAGUCAAGUUUGAAAAUUUAAUUAACAUGGAAUGCUCUUUCGUAUUUGGGAUUUUAUGUUGAUCCAACCUAGCUCAAAUUUUAUACUGAUAUUCGGUUUUGAGAUUUUCAACAAUUGUUCAUUAACACACCUAAGGGUCCAUUUGGGAUUGCAAUAAUUUACUGAAAAGUAGUUUAUCCAAUAGAACUUUUAAUGAAGUACUUAUUAAAUGUUGAAAUGCUUUUAAAUAUAUUUUUUGGAUACAUAAUUAAAUAAAUACUUAUUGCAUUGAAUAAUGUAUAAUUUGAGAAUUUUUAAAAGUAUUUAUCUUUUUUUAGUUCAUAAUAUAUGAUAAAACGAUUAAAUUUAAUGUUUAAAUUAUAAAACACAAAAACUAUUUUAAAAGCACCAAAUUUUAGCUUUUACUAAGAGAGCUUUUAACACCAAAAGUUCCACACUUAAUUUUAUGGGAUGAUAUUUACUAAACGUCUCAAAACUUAAAAGUAAUUUUAGCACUCAAAAAUACUUUUUUAUCAGAACCAUUGCAACCCUCAAACGGCCCUCUGUUUGGAUUGCUAUUUUAUGGAAUUUUUAUUUAAAAAAUGUAAUAUAGUGAUUUGACGUAUAUAAGGUAAAAAAAAAAAAGAUUGAAAAAUGUGUUUACGAAAACGUAAAAAUGUGUUCAAGGGCAAAUAUUGGGUCAGUUGUAGCUUGAGGGGAAUUUUGCCAAUUUAGUCUCUGAAUAUUUUGACUAAAACUAAUUUCGUUCUUGAUAAAUUGUUUUAACCAAUUUAGUCCUUGAAUAAGUUUCUUACAUCCAAUGUAGGACUUUUCACUACAUUUUACUCAAUCCACGUGGACCUAUUGGGGCAUAAUCAUCACACUAGCCUAAUCUUUUGCAAUUAAUCAGCGAAACAGAUUAGUAAGAUCAUUAAAAUAAAGGGGUAAGCAUCUAGUUUUUGAAGACAUUGGGGCUCCUCACAAUUUCUCAAUUCUCUUUGUGAAGAAGCUCCAAUAAGAUGCAUCCGCGAAGAAACUACCUCAAUGAUGCAUCAAGUUCGAGCAGCUGCCAAUAAUCAAAUCAUGAGAAUGAAGAAAGUGGAAAAUUAUCAGAGGUGAAGAGAGGGAAGGUAGAUCACUACAAUGGAGAUGAGGUUGCGUUUUGUGAUUGUAAUGAAUCGUGUCAAAUCGCUACUACAUGGACAUUGUCAAAUCUUGGAAGAAGAUUCCAUGGUUGCAAGAAUUAUGGGGUAUUUUUUUAUUUUGUCAAUAAAUGUGAGGGGAAUUUUUUUGGCAAUAUAAUUGGAUAUGGGUAUUUAGUAGUAAUUUCUAAUUUAGUUCCAUUUGCAAUAAUAAGCAAUCUAAUUUCUACAUCUAAUAGGGGUAUUAAUAUUGAUUACAACCGCCGAAGGCUUGCAAGUGCUUUUUGUGGUUUGAUCCACCAAUGUCGAAGAUGACGAAAAAUAUGACGGCAAAAUUCUUGAAGGAACCAAGGAAAGCCAAACAAGAGAACCAAUUCAUAAAAAAUUGAACUUGCAAGGUUGGAAGAAGAGAACAAGAUGAUGAAGGCUGAAAUUCAAAAGCUAAAAGAUAAGAGCAAAUUGAUAGUUUUGUUGUCAUUUGUUGUGGUUGUUUGUUAACUACUGUGCUUGUUGGCAACGACAAAAGAGGACAUGCUGUCUUGGACUUAGGGCUCCAAAUGUUAGUCUAGAUGAAUUAGGGAAGGCUAUGUAGUUAGAUUUAGCCUUUUGUCCACGAAACUUGCAAAGUUGCUGUGAUUGGCCUUAAUUUUUUUGGUUAUAGUGUGGUUGUAAGGCAUUGUAAACCAUUUGAUGUAGCAAUUGUCUAAGUAAUAUAUGCAAUGGUUUGACAAAUUGAGAAAUCUGGAUAUAUGCAAAGGCUAUGGCAACUUGGUGUCUAAAAAAUAUUUGACAGAAUUUCACCUUAAAAUUUGAUAUUCCGUUAACAUAACUAAACCAAGUAUCACUCGACAAAUGUCUAGCCAAAAAAAGACAAUAGGAAGUUUUCAUAUAACCAACAUGUUCUAGUCGUCCAAAGAGAUCAAUGCCAAGCUUUUAGUUCAUGUCUAGCCAACAAAUACAAGCCAAGGUAACAUAGGCAGACUUUUACAAAACAGUGACCCGGUUCAUUCUCUAUGCUUCCCCUACAAGAUCAGUACACUAUAAUUACAAUUGCAAGAUCUAUAUUAAGAAAACUUCAUUCCCUAAAUUCUUUGCUUUCAUGAAUAUCUUGUAGACCUGUAGUACGGUGAUGUGUACACUAAGUUCCAAAUGCACCUUCUCCUUAAAUUCCUUAACAGUCACUUUCUUAUUCAACAUUAAAAAUUUUGCAUACUUUCUAGUUAGAAAAUCUGAAGUGGCUCUUUCGUGGUAAAAUGUCCGGCCAUAAGUGCUCAGGUCCCACAGUUUUAUAUAACUGUGUAUAAACGACUGAAUAGUAAUAGUAAUAGUCUAUUUAGUCUAUUUAGUCUAUUUUAUUGUAUUCCUAAAACUAAUCCUUACCUCCAAAUGAAUUCUAUUAAAAUCAAUUACAAGUUACAUUUAAAUUAGACUUAACAAAAUUAGUCUAUUUCUAAUAAUGCAUAUAAAAAAUGGAAAUUAAAAGAUGAACAAGUUAUAACUUCAAUACACCCUCCAUUACAAGAAAUAAAAAUUAAUAUGGGACAAGGAGAAAUUAUAGCCUCACCUUUUAAAAAAGGAAGAGAAGCUGAAUCAAGUACAAAUAAUUCAAUAAAAUAGACCAAAUAAUAGAAGAAAAUUCUACUGAAGAAUCAGAAAAUUUAUCAGAAGAAUCAAUAGCUUCAGAUCUAGAAGAAAAUAUACUUUCACCAAUAGAAAAUCAAUUUGAAGAAGAAAAUAAUCAAAUAAAUCGAAUAAAAAGAAAGAAUUAUAAUAACAAUAAAAAUUGGAAAAUAGUAAGUUCAAAAAAUUAUUAUCCUAGACCAAGCCCUCCAGAUAUUCAAUAUGAAGAAAGAUCACAAUUUAGAACUACUAAAUAUGAUGGAGAUUCAAUCUAUGAAUGGAAUAUAGAUGGAAAAGCUGAAUAUGAAGUAUUAAAUAAUUUGCAAGAAAUGGGAAUGGCAAGACUAGCUUACAAAAUUAAAAACAUUCAAGAAAGAAAUAUUGCAACAUUAUUAGUCUCAGGAUUUACUGGACAAUUAAAAAAUAUUUACAAGAAGAUUUUGAUGAUGAAGAAAAUACUGAAAAAAGAAUUUGGUUUUUUCAAUUAGAAUCAGAUUAUAAAGAAAAAUUAAUUAUAGAAUGGAAAAAUGAAAUAGAUAAACAAAAGUUUGAUUUUCCUUUCUUUACAUGGUUAUCAUUUUAUAUGUCAAAAUUAGGAAUAAAUGAUAUAUAUAAUACACCUCAAAUAAAUGUUCAAACUAAUUUAUAUAAAAAAUGGAAAUUAAAAGAUGAACAAGUUAUAACUUCAAUACACCCUCCAUUACAAGAAAUAAAAAUUAAUAUGGGACAAGGAGAAAUUAUAGCCUCACCUUUUAAGAAAGAAAGAGAAGCUGAAUCAAGUACAAAUAAUUCAAUAAAUCUAGAAGAUCUUAAAAAAGUUUAUCAACAAAAUAAUUAUACAAAUCAAAUUCUACAUACAAUAUCUCAACAUAUGGUAUCAUACAAGCAGUUUUAGAAUUCCUUUGUAAAAUCCUCUCAAUCACUCUUACCUACUCCCAACUACUUUCAAUCCCUCUUUUCAAACUCUUGUACACAAUUGUCAAAUAUAAAGUCAAGGUUGAAGACUUAUAUUCUACAAAGCUUCCGUUAGCAACUCAAAGUUAUUUGUAAGUCCUAAUCUUUAUGCUUAUUGCACUUUGAUUGCAAUAAGCAUAAAGAUUAGGACUUACAAAUAACUUUGAGUUGCUAACGGAAGCUUUGUAGAAUAUAAGUCUUCAACCUUGACUUUAUAUUUGACAAUUGUGUACAAGAGUUUGAAAAGAGGGAUUGAAAGUAGUUGGGAGUAGGUAAGAGUGAUUGAGAGGAUUUUACAAAGGAAUUCUAAAACUGCUUGUAUGAUUUUUGCAUUGAAUAAUCUAUUAAGCAAAUCUUUUUUAUUAGGAAUAGGAUAUCUAAUCCAUUGUAAUACUUUAUUUAAAGGUUUAUAAUUUAUUACUAGUCAGUAUGGACUUUGAUUGCAAUAAGCAUAAAGAUUAGGACUUACAAAUAACUUUGAGUUGCUAACGGAAGCUUUGUAGAAUAUAAGUCUUCAACCUUGACUUUAUAUUUGACAAUUGUGUACAAGAGUUUGAAAAGAGGGAUUGAAAGUAGUUGGGAGUAGGUAAGAGUGAUUGAGAGGAUUUUACAAAGGAAUUCUAAAACUGCUUGUAUGAUUUUUGCUCGAUAGAUUAUUCUAAUAAAAAAGAUUUGCUUAAUAGAUUAUUCAAUGCAAAAAUAUUUUCCAAAUUUGAUAUGAAAUCAGGAUAUUGGCAAAUAAUAAUAGACCCAAAAGAUAGAUACAAAACAGCAUUUACAACACCUUUUGGACAUUAUGAAUGGAAAGUUAUGCCAUUUGGAUUAAAAAAUGCACCAUCAGAAUUUCAAAAUAUAAUGAAUGAUAUUUUCAAUCCUUACAGUUCAUUUAGUAUAGUCUAUAUAGAUGAUGUAUUAAUAUUUUCAGAAUCAAUAGAACAACAUUUCAAACAUUUAAGUAUAUUUUUAAAAGUAGUUAAGAAAAAUGGAUUAGUUGUUUCUGCUCCAAAAAUGAAGUUAUUUCAAACUAAAGUAAGAUUUUUAGGACAUAAUAUAUAUCAAUGAACAAUAAAACCAAUUAAUAGAGCUUUAGAAUUUGCUACUAAAUUUCCAAAUGAGAUAAAAGAUAAAAAUCAAUUGCAAAGAUUUUUAGGAUGUUUAAAUUAUAUAGCAGACUUCUUUGUGAUAAAUUAACAUAGUUAAGGGUUUACGCACUUAACCCUUAUGAGACUGUGCACUUGCAAUAAGGAGAAGUAAGAUUAAUAAACUUCACAUUACGAAUUCUAAUGAAUGCCUUGCAUCGAACCUAUUUACCAUAUAUUUCUUUUAUUUUUUUAUUAAACAAAGAGACUUUCAAUAAUUCAAAGAAGGCAAUACUAAUAAAAAAUACAAAAAAAAAGGAAAAGAUGCAAUAUAUCCUAUAGCUAUAUAAAAAGGAAUUUGUGCAUCAUUGUUCACAAGCUUUCAUCCACCUCCUACAUGGCUAAUGAAGUAAACACUUCUACCCAGGCAUAGCAUGUUCCUUUGUAAAAUCCUGAGACUAUUGAACAAACUAGUGAUUGGAAGUAUCACUGGCUUUGUGGUAGAUUGGUUAAAAAAGGAUAAUGCUUCAAGUCAAAGAAUGAAUCAAGACAUAAAGAAAACUUAACGAAAUGUUUUAAAUUUAGAAUCAAUCAAUUAGAUUCUUUCAUAAGAUAAGAAACUAAAUCUGGAGUUGACUCUGAAAAGUACUUUUGAUCAUACAAGAUAAAAAUGGUUUUAUCUUGAUUUGCAAGAAAUGGGAAUGGCAAGACUAGCUUACAAAAUUAAAAACAUUCAAGAAAGAAAUAUUGCAACAUUAUUAGUCUCAGGAUUUACUGGACAAUUAAAAAAUUGGUGGGAUAAUGCCUUAACAUUACAAGAUAAAUUAUCAAUACUAGAUCAUACUCAAGAAAUAGAAGAUGAUCAAGGAAAUAUUCAAAAACAAUCAGAUGCUGUAGAAUUUCUAAUAGUAACAAUAGUCAUGUAUUUUAUAGGAAAUCCAAAAGAGGAAUUAAAUUCAAAUAAAACAUUCUUAACAAAUUUAAGAUGUCCAACAUUAUCAGAUUUUAGAUGGUAUAAAGAUAUGUUUUUAACAAAUGUAUUAAGAAGACCAGAUUGUAAUGCUUCAUUCUGGAAAGAAAGAUUUAUAACUGGAUUACCAAGCUUAUUUUCACAAAGAAUAAUGGAUAAUUUACAAAAAGAAAUGGGAACAGAUGUCAUUUCAUUCGAGAAUAUAACUUUUGGACAACUAUUUGCUUUUGUGAAAGAAAUAACUAUACCAAGUGAAUUUGAAAUUAAAAAUCCACAAAUAGCUAGAAACAUAGAACAAACUACUGCAGAAGUUCCUUUGUCAUACAAGCAGUUUUAGAAUUCCUUUGUAAAAUCCUCUCAAUCACUCUUACCUACUCCCAACUACUUUCAAUCCCUCUUUUCAAACUCUUGUACACAAUUGUCAAAUAUAAAGUCAAGGUUGAAGACUUAUAUUCUACAAAGCUUCCGUUAGCAACUCAAAGUUAUUUGUAAGUCCUAAUCUUUAUGCUUAUUGCAAUCAAAGUCCAUACUGACUUCAUGCUUGUUAUGAUUGCAAUAAGCAUAAAGAUUAGGACUUACAAAUAACUUUGAGUUGCUAACGGAAGCUUUGAGAGAUACUAGACUAAAAAGAUAUAAAACUUCUUUACUAUCUAUGAUUCAAACAAAUGUAUGUAAUGGACCAAUAUAUUUUAACUGUGCUCCAAAUUCUUUUUUUUUUUCUGGAAACGAUAAAAAUAUUUAUUUUUACUAAUAGAGAAUAUUACAAUAUAUGAGCAAGGGGUCAAACUAGAUGUGCAUUACAAAAAUGUACUAAAACACAGGAUCAAAGAAUUCCUCAUCAAAUUUGCUUUUGUGAAAAAAGAAGGAUUAAUAUUAUGUUCAGAAUUAAGAUUACAAAUAAAAUAUGGAUCUAAAACCAAAGAAGUAGGAUCAUUUUGUGAUGACUUUGGAAUCAAAAGAAUUAAAUCACCAUCAGCUUAUAAAAAGAAAAUUAAAAAAUAUUCUAAGAAAACAAGAUAUAAAACUCCCAAGGAAAAUGAACCAACUAAAAGGUUAUAACUUCAAUACAAGACUUAUACACAAUUGUCAAAUAUAAAGUCAAGGUUGAAGACUUAUAUUCCAUUCAUAGAUUGAAUCUCCAUCAUAUUUAGUAGUUCUAAAUUGUGAUCUUUCUUCAUAUUGAAUAUCUGGAAGGCUUGGUCUAGGAUAAUAAUUUUUUGAACUUACUAGAUUCCAAUUAUUAUCAGAUUUUCCAGCAUUGACUUAUAGUCAAGCUGCUACUCCAAUUGCUUCUCAAAUUAGACCCAAAACAACUAAUCCAUUUUUCUUAACUACUUUUAAAAAUAUACUUAAAUGUUUGAAAUGUUGUUCUAUUGAUUCUGAAAAUAUUAAUACAUCAUCUAUAUAGACUAUACUAAAUGAACUGUAAGGAUUGAAAAUAUCAUUCAUUAUAUUUUGAAAUUCUGAUGGUGCAUUUUUAAUCCAAAUGGCAUAACUUUCCAUUCAUAAUGUCCAAAAGGUGUUGUAAAUGUUGUACUUUAGUAAUGGUAUUUAUUGCUUUAUAUAUUGAAGAUGUUUGUAAGGUUUGUAGUUCUUUCUGUCUUAUUGGAGUUAAGAAUUUGAAGGUAAUAAUUUUUUCCAUUAUAUUUACUGAAAUUCCUUCAUGACUUACUACAAAUGGAUAUAUUUGAAUUAGAAAGGGUGUACCUAAUAUUACAUUUACCUCAUUUGAAAUACUAAAUUGAUAUGUUAGUCAUUUUACCCAAUUCCAGACAAAAAGAAUCCAAAUAUUAUUAGUCAUUCCAAUUGUAUCAUAAAGAAAGUUUGUUCUCCUAAUGAAUGGACUUCUCUUUAUUCCAAAAAAUCCUUUUCAGUAAAUUUUAUUCCAGAUGGAUUUACAUAUCAAGAUUACAAAAUGGCAUGGUAUCGUGCUAUCCUUUUUAGACCAUUCAAUCAUUCCUGGUUCUUUACAUUCAAAGAAAGUUGCAGUAAAGAAAUUCCAAUUUGGUUCAAUCAUUGGUGGAAAUGGUUUGGACCUCAACCCGAAAUUCUACCUCCAAAUGUUCUCAUGGGAUUUCAAACCUAUCUAAAAAGAGCAAAGGGGGAAGAGUACACAAGACCAAUUUUAUUUCAUAUAGAAUUCAAAGUACCAUGGAUAUUCUGUUGGAGUUUCAAAAUUCAUCAAGAACUAGAAAAGCCUCUUCCAAUGUCUUUGGUAAGAGAAUUCAAAAUAAAAUGGUGGACCGGAUUCAAUCAAGAGUUCGGUGAUCAGACAAAUGUGAUAAGAUUCCUGACUACUGGAGAUAAAUUAAAGUGGACAGCUACUACCACUACUCAAAAGGAGUCCUUUUCAUAAGGUAAUUCUAUCAUAUGUAGUAACUAUUACAGUAGAAGAUUUCAAAGAAACAUUUGUAGCUCUUAUAGAUAGUGGAGCUGAUACAAGUUGUAUUAAGGAAGGAAUAAUUCCCACUAAAUAUUGUGAAAGAACAAAAGAAAAACUAAUGGCAGCAAAUGGACAAGAUUUAGAAGCAAAAUAUAAAUUUACAAAAGGUUCAAUAUGUAAUAAUGAAUAUUGUAUUAAACAUAAUUUCAUAAUUGUAAACAAUAUAAAUCAUGAUGUAAUAUUAGGUACACCCUUUCUAAUUCAAAUAUAUCCAUUUGUAGUAAGUCAUGAAGGAAUUUCAGUAAAUAUAAUGGGAAAAAUUAUUACCUUCAAAUUCUUAACUCCAAUAAGACAGAAAGAACUACAAACCUUUUAGAAUCAAAGAUAUGGAUUCUUUUUGUAAAAAUAAUCAAAUUCUACAUACAAUAUCUCAACAUAUGGAAGUAUUAAAUACAAAAAUUGAUACUCUAAAGAAACCAGAUUUAAAAUUCCCAAAUGAUAUAUCAGCACCUCAUUUUCAACCUAGAAGUUUGACAAGAGAAAAAGAGCAAGAUUUAAUACAAAAUAUUAAUAGUCAAAAAAUAAAUACUACAAAUAAUUUACUAAAUAAAAUAUCUAAUGCAUUACAAAAUCUAACUACAGAUUCUAAACCUUCAACUCCAAAAAUAAACACAUUGAAUUCGAAAAACAUACAAAGAAUUUUGCAAUAAUAUAUAGAAUAUAUUACAGACCUUUAUCAUCUCAUUUAAAUCCAAAAUUUAUAAUGACUCCAACUCUGAAAGAUGAAACAACUUUAUUACAAGUAGAUGCAGAUAAACCUACAACAUACACACUGUAGACACCAAAUUUUGGUGUAAUUUCAUUUGCUGUUUAUUUUUAAUUUUUUCAUUUUAGUUUUAUUCGAUUUUUAGUUUUAGUUUCUAGUUUUAUUUUUAUUUUUAUUUUUAUUUUUAAACUGUUAGCAUAGAAUCUCUUGGAAAAUAAAUGAAAAUGAGAAAGUGAAAAGAAAAGAGGAGAGAAAAGAAAAAAAAAAAGAAAAUUGCCCACAAAAUAUGUUUUAUGUCUUCUAAAUUCAAUCUUUUGGCAUUUUGUUUAUUUUUGUUAAGUUAUUUUGAAAAAAAAAAAGAAAAAAAAAGAGAAAAACGAUGAAAAUAGGAAAUGGAAAAGAAAUGGAAAUUGCACUUUAUUGUUCUAGUUUAUUUUUCAUCAAAUGUUAAUUAUUUUGUUUUGGUUAUUUCUUUUUAUUAUUAUCAAUUUUGUUUGUUUCAAAAAAAAAAUCAAAAAAUCACAAUUCUAUUUCUGCCGAAUCCAUUUCCAUUUUACAUUCCAGCACCUUCCAUCUCUAUGCCGACUUAUAACCACUAAUGCACUCCACUAUAUCACACACUAGUAUAUCAACUACCAUCCACCACAAUAUAUUUUUUUUUUCAAUGGCUUUUCAGCCGUGAGUGAGCAAGGCUUCCUGGGCCAACUUUAAAACAAAAACAUCUCCAAUUCUGCCGGAUGACAUCUGAGUCUCCACUCACACCCCAUUUCCCUUCAUUCGCGACUUGUUUCCCAUUUGAGCAACUCCAACAUUCCAGAACACCAGACCAUUUCACUUCAUCUCCUGCCUUGGUAUCAUCGAAGAGAGGAAAUCAGAGAGAGAGAGUUGCAGGCGGCAUUUCUGGAUAGCCGAAAGGAAGAAAAGAUUGCAGCUGCUAGUCGUGGGUUUUAGGCUUCAAGCUAAGGUAAAUUCUGGACUUAGAUGAAUUGUUUAUGGGUUGAUGCAGCUGUCUAUACGCAUGCAUGUGGGUUUGUGAGGUUAGAUGAGGAAUUGAGACUUAAGAAAUCUGGUUUGGAAGAAUUGGAGCUGCCGAAAGUUUGAGCUGGAAUUUGUAACUCUAAUUAGCUAAUCUGUGAUAAUCUGAGCCUAGAUGCACAUUUAAUCAACUAAAACCUGGAUGAUUAAGAUUUGCAUGAAGUUAGUUAACCUUGAUUAAGUCAGAAAAUUGAAAAGAUACAAAAUCAGGUUGCAUGCAAGCCAACCGGGAGCAGGAUUGUUUGAAAUUCUGGUUGAGUAAUGUUUUGAUGUUGUCCGAAUUUGCUUAUGGACCAAAAUUGAUAGAUAGUUUCUUAUUUGAUGUUGCAUGUAAGCUACGUGGUCUGAAUUUUGGUUGCAAGGCUGGAAAUGUUAAUGGAAGCUGAAGGAUUGCUGAAACAAUUUGUCCAGUUUAGCCGUUGAAGUUGUUUUGGAAAUUGCAUGGGUAUUUUAGCAUGAAAUUUGCUGGAAAGUGGUUGAUUUUCACUUGGUUAGGUGUUUGACUAAUUAAAAUUAGAUGAUUAAGCUUUGCAGGAAGUUUAUUGGUCCGGCUAAGCAAGAAAAAAAAAUGAAAUAGUGAACGGCUACAUGCAAGUUCAUCCAAGGAUGGCGAACAGAAUUUCUGGAUUUGUGGAUGUUUAUAGUUGCUGUCCGAACUUGAUCUGAACUAGAAAUGAUAGUAAUUUCAUUAAGUAGCCUUGCAUGUUAGUUUUGGGUACUUAACACAAUGAUUCAACCGAGGUAAAUUCGGAUUUAAGACCAACCAAGUGCUGGAAAAUUUAUGUGACUUGCCAAGGGAGUGAAACCAGAAUUUGCAGUUGUUUCUGGAAUUUUUCAUUAGCAAAUAAUGCUUGGAAAUGCAUGAAAAAUGUUGUUUUAAGUCUUGUAUGACAUUCAGUAGUAAACCAUUUGAAUUGUGGGCAGAUUUGGCCAAAAUUGUUGACACAUAGCUGCGGCAAUGUUGUAAUUAGAAAAUGCAGAAGUUUGCGACUUGUUUUCCUGAUUUGUUUGGGUCAGAGUUUAGUGUGAAUGUAGAUCAUUUCUGAUGUAUUUUGAAACUGAAAGUUUGUUGGAAACUCAUGGUAUGAAUUGCUGAAGUCACCAAGUUAUUUAAAAGUUCCUCCUUUCAAAAACACAGCAAGCAAAAGCUGCUGCAUUUUUUCGGUCUUUUCCCUGCCGCAUUUCCUUUCCUUUGGUUGCUGGUUAAGUUUUGCCCUUCAGUUUCAUGUUUGAUCUUGUGUUGGAGGGAAUCAAUGGAAGGUUGGGUGUUGAGUUUGAGUGUUUAAACAUCUAAAAUAUUUGAGCUGGAAAGUGGAUUUCAGAUUGCCAAAGUAUUCUACAUGAAUGUCUGUCCAGAUUUUCUGUAAUGCAUUAGCUCCUUCAUUGUUCUUGUUUGUUUGGAGUUGAGUUAAGCAGCUUGUUGUUUAGUUAGAGUUAAGAUGAUGGUUUGAGAAAUAUCUAAUCAAAGCUUUGUAUUUGAAUUAAAAAUCUGGUUUGCAUGAUGAAAAGAAAUGCCGUGGCUGAAAAAUUGUAGAAUGCUGCAGAGAAAAUUUUCCAGAUUUGCAUGCUCUCUUUCCUUGAAUUGUUGUGUUUACACAUAAGAGUUUUAUGAUUAAAAAGUGGAAAGAAUGUUUGGUAAUCUUGUCCAAACCUUUGUUGCCUAAGUUGUUCCUUGCGUUUGAACUGCAUCAGAAACCCUGAAAGUUGCAAUAAAAGAAAACGCAGCAUAGCUUCAGCCGAGUUGCAUGAGUUUUUGGGGGUGUUUUUCUGCCUUUUUUUGUUGCAUGUUCAGCUGUGUUGUGUUAAUCAAAGUGUUUAGUUGUUAAAUGGUGAUUGAGUGAGGGUCUUUGGUGGCUUUUGUUUGAAGUUUUCUAUGAAACCUGCAGUUGAGAGUUUAAAGUUGCAAAAAGGAAAAAUUCUGGAUGAAUGUUGCAGCAGAAAAUUUGCUUCAUCAUUUUUGCAGGCUCUUUUUGUUUGAUUGAUUGUUUUGUUGCAUUAUAAAGUGGGUAGAUCAAGUGGUGUUUUGUUAUUUUGUGCGAACUGCAUUUGUUUUGGUCUAAAAGCCUAAGGAAGUUCACAAAUUAUGAAGAAGUGCAGCUGGUUUGGCAUUGCAGAAAUUGUUUGUUGCAGAAAUUCUUCUUCUACGUGAUUUGCAUGCAUGGAACUUUCAAAAAUUUGCACUUUGGCCCCCAAGUCUCUCCUUGUUCUACUAGAACCCAAUCAAUUAAAUAAUUUCAUCAAUUUGGUCCUUGGCAAUUUUAAUUUGUGCAACUUCAUGGCUUGUUUUGUUUCAAUUAACUACCAUGUUUUGUCAAUUGCACUUAAGUCAUGACUUUAGGGGUUUCAUGACCGAAUGAGCUCGUGUUUGCCUAUUUUUUAAUUUCCCUAAAAUAAAUUGGUUGUUUGACCUUUUCUUGGCUCUUGAGACCUUUGGAGUGCUUAAAUGUUUCGAUUGAAUUCGAAUGGUUGACUAAGGUUUGCAAUUGGGUCUUUAAUUGGUAAUUGGGUCCUUGGUGGGUCCUUUUUCUGAAACUUAUGCAUUAUUUGAUUUCAUUUAAAUUGCAAUUAGGAGAGAUUUGGUGACUUUGUUAUACUUUACUAUUUGAGGUACCUUGACCUUUUUAUUGUUUUGAAGCCAUUUUUCUUUCAUUUGGACACCAUUCAAAGGGGCGGUAUAAUUUCUUUUAUCCCUUUUGUUUCUCUCCUAUGUGACCCAACGUGUUAAGUGAAUUGCAUGCCUACUUUGCUUUCCUAGUUUUUUCUCAAUUCCUUUUACUUAUGUCAUUUACUUUCAUUUUCAUGAAGUUAUUCUUUAAUGGGGUAUGUGUACACCUCUUGGCUUGUAAUAGAUAGAGCUUUGGCGAGCAAUUUGGUCCAUUUUACCCUUCCCCUUUUGUUUUAAUUAGUGAAUGUAAUAAGUUCAUUAGUUUGGUUGCAUGCCUAUGUGUUACGUGUUACUUGCUUUAUUAGGUUUUGCAUCUAGUCGAGCAUGUUAAGUGUUACGUGCUACGUGUUUAUGGGCGUUUGGCAUGUCUACUAGCUUUCUGUAGUGUAGAUGAAUGGAAUGGAUGAAUGUACGUUUCCACUAGUCCAACGCUAGUCGGAAUUCAUAGAAUGGGCUAGUCCAACGUUAGACCCUUAGGGAUUUCCCCUCGUUAGUACAUGUUUGUAUGUUCAUUACAUGUCAUGCAUUCUUUUUAGUUUUGUCAUUUUUUGCAUGCCCCCGAUUCCCUUUCCCCUCACUUUAGGACUUGCAUCUCAUGCUAGUUAGGGUACAUUUGCCUGAAGAGUCCCCUUCUGAUAAGGGAAACGAGCGAGUGUGGCUACUCGAUAGCCUUAGCACGCUAGUUCCGCCUUCUAAUCAAAGGGAAAAUCGAAGUCGAAAAGUUAGAAGUCAACCCCCGUACCCGACUUGUUGCAUUCCCCUAGGGUCAUACUUUCAUUUUUAUCACUUCCAUACUCUUUUAAUCACAUUUUUCUUACAUUUCGCAAUCCAUAUUUUUCACUACAUCUUUAUCAUUUAUUUACUUUACUUCACAAAUGAAAUUCAAGUUUCACUUAUAUAUGUACUAUUCUAUCUUCAUUCAUUUGCACACACAAACACUUUGAUUUUUCAUACAAAUUCACACAUGCACUUUCUUUACACAUUCGCACACAAACACUUUGUUUUUACAUGAAUCUUUUCAUACACUUGCACACUUGCACUUGAGUCACCAUUUGCAUCAAUCGACCUCUAUGAGGUUUCCCUUUAUUGGCCGCCACAAUUCAUGUGGUUUGGGACCAAAAACCUCACGAGAGACAUCAUAGAAUUUAGGAUUGCAUUUCUCAUUUAUUAGUCUUUGUCCAAAUUGUAAAUACAUACUUUGGGUAGGAAAAAUUAGGAAAAUAAGGGUUAAAUCACGCAACUAGCCUUGGCUAGGUCGAAGGGGUGCCUUGGAUUUUUAUCCUUGCCUUCCCCUUCGUCAAAUGUGACUCCCGAACCUUUUUCUUUGUUUGCGUGGACUAGGAGUCGUUCAAAAGGGUUUCUUACUUUUUUCCUUAAAAAAUUCACUUUUUGGGUGACUUGGUACACCCUAACUCUAUACCAAGUGGCGACUCCAUUUUUCAUAUAAAAAACCCUUUUUGAACUAUUUUUCUUGGGUCAAAUCGUCGCAUUUUCAAAAGUCCCAUUUAGACCCAUUUUUAUUUUUAUCAAAAAAUUCACUUUUUCCAAACCAAUAAAAUCACAAAAACAAGUAUUUUAUUUUUUCCAAAAAAGUGGGGCGUGACAGUUGGCGACUCCACUGGGGACUUCCUAAGUGGGUCCGAGCAUUUUUGAUUUAACCAUUCUUUUUCCUUUUUCUACCCCUUUUAUGAAUUGCAUUUGGAUAUUAGGGUUGCAUUUUUCAUUUUUAGAACUUUUUGAUUCACACGUAUCCAAUUACUCCCUCGUUCGUGAAUGUAUGGUUGGUUGAUUGGAUGUAUGUUUAUUUAUCUCGCGCUUGCAUUGCAUUUGGGUGGGGGACAUCACCCUAGAGCCUCGCAUUGGUUCUCGAUCCCUCCCCUCCAAAACGUGCACUAUCAUACGCGCAUACGCUUUACUUCUUUUAUCCCUUUUAUUUUUCUUUAGUGGCUUGUCACGCCACUCCACCCUGUUAGGAUUUUAGGCGACCUACUUGGACGUGUGAUUGUGACACGACGUGUGCGUAGCACGAUCCGAGGGGUCACUUAAUCUUCCGCUUUAAGUUUUGGGUUAAUAGCCUAUAGCUUUUAGUAGAAGAUUGAGGAUUUUUUAUAGAUUCACUCAGACAUGUGGCCGUGACACGACGUGUGCGUAGCAAUGUCUGGGGAAUCGCUCGAGCCACCGACAAAGAACCUUGGGAUUGAUGACCCUUGGUUUCUAAGUCUGAAAGCUCGGGGACCUAUGACCUAUCGAGUCUAGAUGCAUUAGUGAGCCCUAACCUCAUGCAUCCAUUAUAGAAUUGCCUAGGAUAGAGUCGGCUUUAUCCUGAACUAGGGACACUAUUCACGAGGGGAGGGGUCCAGCCCCUUUCUCCUUUUUAUUGCUUUAUUUCCUUGUGUUGAUUUCGUUGCUACAAUGUGUUAUAUGUAUUUAUCUGACUAGGCUAACUUUUCUUGGUUUUGUGCCCCAUUGCAUUCACAAACAUUAGCAAAUAAGAGGUCUGGCAUGACCUUCUUUUAUGGCCUACCUGUGUAGAUAGGACAUUACACGUUUAAAAAUUUUGGUAUAAUUCACUCAUAAGUUAAUAAUGCCAUACCAUUUUAGGCCUACCCUGGCAAAUAAAGGGUUCCUUAGGUCACGUUUCAUUUCGAAUUGCAUAUUUACAUCGCUUUAAUAAAUGGCAUCAUGCAUAAACCCUAGAAAGGGAAUGCCACUUAGGGAAUCCCGCGUUUAGGAAUAAACCACCUUUGUGUCUCGGAUACUUAAUCCAGUGAGACUUGCACGUUUACAUUUUGUACCAUCCAAAGGGGUAGUGCACAAGGUAAGGUAGGAUCCGAUCAUUUUCAUAGAGUGAUCUUUGGAAUAUGAGCAUCUAAUAAUCACUUUUUGGCCCUUUUAUCAAAAAUUGGUAAAAAUCCCUUGCGUGAAGGACAUUAAUUUGAAGAAAUUCACAAAUGAUUCCUCCUUUUGAGACGAUAAAUAAAUUAAGACCAAAAUUUGAUUUUUAGAAGGUCAUAGACUAAUGCACUUCAAUGAUUUUGAAAUAACCAAUGGCCGGGCAAUUCAACCAAUCCAUUUUGCCGAUUCAUUCAAUAAAUUGUCAAUUCAUUUGACCAAUUUACCCUUUUUAGGGUCAUCCGGUCAAUUUUGAGUAAAUCAUCAAUUCAUUUGACCAAUUUACCCUUUUUAGGGUCACCUGGUCAAUUUUGAAUAAAUUGUCAAUUUAUUUGAUCAAUUUACCCUUUUUAGGGUCAUUUGACCAAUCUACCCUUUUUAGGGUCAUCCGGUCGAUUUUGAAUAAAUCGUCAAUUCAUUUGACCAAUUUACCCUUUUUAGGGUCAUUCGACCAAUUUUUGAAUAAAUCACUAAUUCAAUUUCAUUCAUUUUGCCAAUUUACCCAUUUUUAGGGCAACCGAGCCGAUUUUGAAUAAAUCAAGUUUCGUUCAAUCUAUUUGAUCAAUUUACCCUUUUUAGGGUGAUCUGAUUAAUUUUGGAUAAAUUAAAUUUCAUUCAAUUCAUUUGACAUGUUCCCUUUUUUAGGGUAAUCUGGUCGAUUUUAAAUAAAUGAUCAAUUUCAUUCAACCCAUUUGACCAAUUAAGGUUUCAAGAUCGAAUUUCAAAUUGGGAAACCUAGUCGGUUUUAAGAAAACCGUCCACUGCAUCCAGCCAUUUGAUCAGUUGGGGUUUUGACCCGCGCUUUACUGAGGAAAUUUUGUCAAACGAAUUCCGGUCUCUUCGAUAGGAAGUUUGUCAAGGUCAAACCUGUGCGUUUUUACAAAUUCUUGUAUCGAUCAAAAGUGAUCAAUCCAUUCGGACGUUGACCUCAUUUUGACAAAGUGUCUCUCGUCACUCCAAUUGGCCAAAAUUUUCAAAUUAUUUUUCACUCCAUAAGCUGAUUGGAUCCAUCAGGUAUGGUAUAGUGCCUACUCUAGAGGAUUGCAUCCUCAUUCUAGGCCUACCCUUGGCGCAAAAAGGGUUCCCCCAUAGGACAUGCAUCCGAAUUUUCUGGAUAUCUACUAACUCUUGUUUUUUUUUCUUUUCUUUUUCUUUGUUUUUAUUGGAAUAACUAAGCAAGGGUUAAAUCUAAAGGCAAUUCCUUUCAAAAUUCUCAGGUAAUAUUUAAAUAUAGCUUCUCGUCGAAGCCCCAUCAUAACGCGAUCCCGUAGUCAAGCCCAGAGGAGUCGUGUAAACAUGAGUUCACAACCGGAACAGUCAGAUAGGUCUGCUACUACCGCUCAACCCGAGACUGCAAGUUUGGGGAUUCAGUUGACUGAGAUGCUUACCAAGUUUGGAGAGAUGGCGUCUGAGAUGGCCGCCCAAAAGAAGUUGAAUGAUGAGCUAAUUAGCAGCGGAGUUCAACCCGAACCUGUACCCGCCAGACAGCCUGAGCAAGAGCCGUUUGUCCUACCUUCGGCCCAUGCCACUGUUACUCCAUCAUUUCCUAUUGCACCCGAAGAAACUUUCACCUAUCCCACCACAAAUUUGCCAUACACUUACCCUCCUCAUCCUUCAUUUUUUCUUACUCACACGCGAGGUCCACCACCCCAAAUCACUUCAAAUAUACCACCUGAGCCACAUACCUUUUAUCACCCUGUUGCUGAGCCAUUCCUACCAGACCAUAUUGUUCAAACCAAGGCAGAAAUGGGGGAAUCUUCUGCUCCCGUUGAUAUAAAGCUGCUCAAACGCCUUGACCGUUUUGAUGAAUUUAUGAGGAAGAGUCAGGGGUUGAACAAGCAAGAAGUCCUAGAUUACGAUAAGCUUUGUUUCUUCCCAAAUGUGCAAUUGCCUGAGGGAUUCAAAACCCCUAAGUUUAACAAGUACGAUGGGACGGGUAAUCCCAAGACACACCUCCGACUAUUUGCUAACAAGUUGGGAAGGCCCAUAGAUGAUGAGAACCUGCCUCUAAGGUUGUUCCCGGAAAGUCUGGAGGGGGAUGCCCUCGACUGGUACUCAAAUUUGAAGUCCGAAGAAGUAAAAACCUGGAUUGACUUGUCCAAUGCUUUUGUAAGGCAAUACGAGUAUAAUUGCGAGCUGGCUCCAACACGAACCACAUUGGAAGGGACAAAGAGGAAGCCAUCUGAAGAUCACAAGACUUAUGCCAAGAGGUGGAGAAAAAUAGCUGCAAAAGUCGAGCCACCAAUGACUGAGGACGAAAUCAUACGCACUUUCAUUAAGGCACAUGAUCCUCCAUAUUUCGAAGAAAUUUUUCGCAUGACUGGAUGCUCGUUCGCUGCUAUUGUUAAUAAGCUUGAGGAAUUUGAUGAUUUCGUGAAAGUUGGGAAGAUUGUUAAUGUCUCUACCCUCAAGUCACAGUUGGAUGCUUUGCAAGGACAGGGGACUAGUGAGAAGAACCCGCAAUUCCAAAAGAAAGAGGGAGAAACUGCCUUCACAUGGAAUCAAAACCCUGUCCCAAGACCCAGACCUCGACAAUACCCUACCUACUCAAACCCUUACCAUUCAAACCAUCAUCCCGUUUAUCACACCAAUAUCACUCAUCCUCGACCUCGCCCAAAUUAUGCCAACCCGCCUACAACUCCUUUCCAAAUAUUUCAACCAAGCUUUCAACAAACUCGUCCUCGACCCCCUUACCACCAAAGAUUUUCCCCACCAAAUAGACCCACAUACAACUAUUCUCGACCCACUGAAACCUACAAUCAAAGCCGUACCCGAACCUUCGCCAACCUAGGCAGACCUUUGGACCAAUUGUAUGAGCAAUUGAAGGUUGCCAACAAAAUAGGCGUGAUUCCCCCUCCAACUUACCUUCAUGGCAUGCCUGUUGGGUACAAUCCACAUGCUAUUUGUGCCUAUCAUUCGGGAGUACCUGGCCACUCAACCGCCGAUUGCAGGGCACUUAAGCACAAAGUCCAAGACAUGAUCGAGGCAGGAGAAAUAGUGCUAAGGAAAAGAGGUGAACAAGCGCCGAUCAUAAGUACAAAUCCUUUUCCUAAACACCAGGACACCUUCGAGGCAUCCACCUCCAGCGACGAAAUUUGAAAAUCCUGAAGGAGCUUUGCACAAUUUGGAUGGCCGAGUAUCUUCCCUCUCGAAGGGAAUUUCGGUAAAUCUAGGGGUUUUUAUUUACUAAAGCUCACAAAAACCAUUUCUUGCAUAUGUGAAUAGCUUCAUGAAAACAUCUUUCGCAAUUAAGUUUUUGUCUUGUUUCCGCUUUGAUUAGUUUUUCCAUUAAAUGUACAAUUUGUUUAUUUGAUUAUUGUCCUGAAUUUUAAUUCUUUUAAAUGGCCAAAAAUGAAAUUAUUUGACCCUUUGAAUAUCACUGUUCUGGAUUCCGAUAAUACCAUUCAUCCAAAAGUCCCUUCAUUAAGAAAUCCCUUCAUUAAAAAUCCUUCAUUGAAAAAUCCCUUCAUUAAGAAAGCUCUUCAUUGAAAAUCCUUUCGUUAAGAAAGCCUUUCAUCAAGAAAUCCCUCCUCUGCCAAGUUCUAAGCUGAUUGGUUAAAGCAGCGUCACCGACAAUUGAUUUUGAUGGAUGAAAAGCAGUUGAAUGUCGUAUGGCCUGUGUUCAUAACAAAAAGGUCCGCCACCGGUCCUUUAGAGAAGAAGGACAAAGAGUUAAAGCGAGUUUUGCCAAUGCAAGAUGAAGUCAAAGACGAAUUUGAUCUAAACUGGUAAGGACAUUUGUCAUUCAAAAAGGUGCCACCGAGUGGAGCACUUAUCCUUGAAGAGAUGGAUGGGUAAACAUUCUCUCAACCUAUCAAAUCAGACAUGUGUAAGAAGUCUUUAUUUUUGAUUAUGCAAAUUUCUUUUGGAAAUCAUGCAAGGGACGAGGUAAAAGUCAGGCCAUCUUCCUUUUCAAUCAAAACAUUUCAUCCCUAGUUAUCCCUUUUGAGCCAUCAGAGCAGUAAUUUUCGUUUGGCAGCCCCUGAGAGUUGCAAACCCCACACUGGGGCCAAGUUAUUUUGGAAAAGAGAUGAACAAAAGAAAAGAAAACCCUACACUGGGGCAAAUUUAUUUUGAAAGAGAAAGAAAAAGCAGAAAACCCUACACUGGGGCAAAUUUUUGAAAAAGUUCAAAAGAAUGGCAAAAGGCCAAAAGACAAAUCAAAAAAAAAAAUGAAAAGGAAAAGAGAACCCCAUACUGGGGCAAAUUUAGCUUUGAAGAAAAAUGCAAAAAGUGAGGAAGAUGCAAUGGAAAAAGCAAAGAGAGAAAAUUCAAUCAAACUGGGGCAAAUUUCCCUCAGUUUCGUUCGAAAUUGAAGAUGAUUUCAAAUGAUGCAAUCUCAGGUUAUUUCACCUCUCAUAAGAGCAAAUUGUUUUCAAGCCUUAACUUUUCUUGACAUAUCCCACCUGACUCCAUUACAAAAGCCCAAAGUCCUGACUUUCGUCAAUUGCUAUAUUUCUAUUGGAAAGUUUGCUAAUCAACUGACAAGUGAUGUCCAUAAUGCCUUCGCUUAAUCUUACAAGGGAAGUGCAUUUUACUGAUGUCAGAAAUCUUUAACUCAUACUUCUGAGGCGAUUAUGGUUGAGCUCUUCCAUUGCUUUCUUACGUAAAAACCCGAAAGGGCACCUCAAAAAGAAAAAAAAGGAAAAAAAGAAAAAAAAGAAAAAAAGAGAAAAGACAAAACAAAACAAAAAAAAAGGGGUGGGGGCAACCUUGAUGAAAACCCGAAAGGGCGCUAGGUAGGUUUCUUCAAUGAGCAAACACGAGGAAGAACAGUUGAUGACUUGGUUCAUUUGGAAUUUCUCUUCAUAAUACUUCUGCCAGUGUCGAAUUGCAGAACAAAGAUAUUCAGGAACUCGAAUAUGACAUCCGUUGGCCAAAACUGUGUCGUUUUGUAAAAAUAUUUCUUUAGCAAAUUCAUUCUUAGGAAGCUCAUUUUUUCUCAAUUGCUUGUAUUCAUGGCAUUUUUGUAGGCUUUAAGCACAAAUGGUUUGUGUUUGCAUUCUUUCACAUAUUCAUUUCUGCAUGAUAGGUGAAAUUACUUUUUAAUCAUCGAAUUUUGGUGAAUGAUAACCCCAUGGUUUAUUCAAAGCAUACUUGGGUUCAGUCAUCUUGCGAAAAUGGUUGAAAUUCAGCAAGGUCGGUUACGCAAGCUUCACAAUAUGGCAAAAUGCACGCUCGGUUAGUCGGGAAAAAUCAGAGACGUUUAGAAAUGACAAAUCCAACCAAGUCAGAUGCCACGGUCAACUUUGACGAAGGCACCCAAAGACUCAUGUUUACACGAUUCUCAAGGACAAACGGAUCAAAUAAUGGUGGCAAUUCCUUUGUUUUUUCUCUUUUGCAGGAAAUUUCAUGCAUGGAUGAAAACAAUCACACCUCGCACUGAAAUCGGUGUCGGAAAGAGUUCUAAUGAACAAAGGCAGAUUGAAAAUGUCGCAAGCAAAUUUCAUCAAAAAGUGCAACAGCAUGGCGAUACAGAAUCAACUCUGGACUCAAAUAGCAAAAAUUCAUCAUACUGGGGCAAAUUAAUUUUUUGAAAAGAUUUUGAAAAGUCAAAAAGAAAAGUCAAAAAGAAGCAAAAAUCAUCAAUCAAAAACCAAAAUCGAAUCAAAUUUCAUCACGGCAGGAUCGGGUUUAAUCCCACUGACCGACAAAAACAUUUUCGGGUCAGUCAUCAAAGCAUUUUCGGGUCAGUCCCUCGAUCAAAAACAUUUUCGGGUCAGUCCCUCGAUCAAAAGCAUUUUCGGGUCAGUCCCUCGAUCAAAAACAUUUUCGGGUCAGUCCCUCGAUCAAAAGCUCAUUCGGGUCAGUCCCUCGAUCAAAAGUAUUUUCGGGUCAGUCCCUCGAUCAAAAGCUCAUUCGGGUCAGGUCAGUCCCUCGAUCAAAAAAAGCGGGUCAGUCCCUCGAUCAAAAGGGUCAGUCCCUCGAUCAAAAGAUUCGGGUCAGUCCCUCGAUCAAAAGUAUUUUCGGGUCAGUCCCUCGAUCAAAAGCUCAUUCGGGUCAGUCCCUCGAUCGAUUUUCAGUCCCUCGAUCAAAAGCUCAUUCGGGUCAGUCCCACGAUUCAAAGCUUAUUCGGGUCAGUCCCGCGAUUAAAGCUUGUUCGGGCCAGUCCCAUGAUUUGAAUUUCCUUCUCUAGUCAGUCCCAAUUUUAAAUUUCUGCUCGGGUCAGUCCCGUUUUAAUUUCCUGUUUGGGUCAAUCCCAUUUCAAAAAAAAAAAAAUGUUAAAGAGGUCGAUCCUCAUUUCAGAAGCGUCCAUUGCAGCCGAAUAACACAGGUAAGUAUUUGGUGUCUACUUCUUUGUCUCAAGUUUUUUCAAAACUCAGACAAAGAGGGGCAAACUGUAGACACCAAAUUUUGGUGUAAUUUCAUUUGCUGUUUAUUUUUAAUUUUUUCAUUUUAGUUUUAUUCGAUUUUUAGUUUUAGUUUCUAGUUUUAUUUUUAUUUUUAAGCUGUUAGCAUAGAAUCUCUUGGAAAAUGAAUGAAAAUGAGAAAGUGAAAAGAAAAGAGGAGAGAAAAGAAAAAAAGAAGAAAAUUGCCCACAAAAUAUGUUUUAUGUCUUCUAAAUUCAAUCUUUUGGCAUUUUGUUUAUUUUUGUUAAGUUAUUUUGAAAAAAAAAAAGAAAAGAAAAAAAAAGAGAAAAACGAUGAAAAUAGGAAAUGGAAAAGAAAUGGAAAUUGCACUUUAUUGUUCUAGUUUAUUUUUCAUCAAAUGUUAAUUAUUUUGUUUUGGUUAUUUCUUUUUAUUAUUAUCAAUUUUGUUUGUUUCAAAAAAAAAUCAAAAAAUCAAAAAAUCACAAUUCUAUUUCUGCCGAAUCCAUUUCCAUUUUACAUUCCAGCACCUUCCAUCUCUAUGCCGACUUAUAACCACUAAUGCACUCCACUAUAUCACACACUAGUAUAUCAACUACCAUCCACCACAAUAUAUUUUUUUUUUCAAUGGCUUUUCAGCCGUGAGUGAGCAAGGCUUCCUGGGCCAACUUUAAAACAAAAACAUCUCCAAUUCUGCCGGAUGACAUCUGAGUCUCCACUCACACCCCAUUUCCCUUCAUUCGCGACUUGUUUCCCAUUUGAGCAACUCCAACAUUCCAGAACACCAGACCAUUUCACUUCAUCUCCUGCCUUGGUAUCAUCGAAGAGAGGAAAUCAGAGAGAGAGAGUUGCAGGCGGCAUUUCUGGAUAGCCGAAAGGAAGAAAAGAUUGCAGCUGCUAGUCGUGGGUUUUAGGCUUCAAGCUAAGGUAAAUUCUGGACUUAGAUGAAUUGUUUAUGGGUUGAUGCAGCUGUCUAUACGCAUGCAUGUGGGUUUGUGAGGUUAGAUGAGGAAUUGAGACUUAAGAAAUCUGGUUUGGAAGAAUUGGAGCUGCCGAAAGUUUGAGCUGGAAUUUGUAACUCUAAUUAGCUAAUCUGUGAUAAUCUGAGCCUAGAUGCACAUUUAAUCAACUAAAACCUGGAUGAUUAAGAUUUGCAUGAAGUUAGUUAACCUUGAUUAAGUCAGAAAAUUGAAAAGAUACAAAAUCAGGUUGCAUGCAAGCCAACCGGGAGCAGGAUUGUUUGAAAUUCUGGUUGAGUAAUGUUUUGAUGUUGUCCGAAUUUGCUUAUGGACCAAAAUUGAUAGAUAGUUUCUUAUUUGAUGUUGCAUGUAAGCUACGUGGUCUGAAUUUUGGUUGCAAGGCUGGAAAUGUUAAUGGAAGCUGAAGGAUUGCUGAAACAAUUUGUCCAGUUUAGCCGUUGAAGUUGUUUUGGAAAUUGCAUGGGUAUUUUAGCAUGAAAUUUGCUGGAAAGUGGUUGAUUUUCACUUGGUUAGGUGUUUGACUAAUUAAAAUUAGAUGAUUAAGCUUUGCAGGAAGUUUAUUGGUCCGGCUAAGCAAGAAAAAAAAAUGAAAUAGUGAACGGCUACAUGCAAGUUCAUCCAAGGAUGGCGAACAGAAUUUCUGGAUUUGUGGAUGUUUAUAGUUGCUGUCCGAACUUGAUCUGAACUAGAAAUGAUAGUAAUUUCAUUAAGUAGCCUUGCAUGUUAGUUUUGGGUACUUAACACAAUGAUUCAACCGAGGUAAAUUCGGAUUUAAGACCAACCAAGUGCUGGAAAAUUUAUGUGACUUGCCAAGGGAGUGAAACCAGAAUUUGCAGUUGUUUCUGGAAUUUUUCAUUAGCAAAUAAUGCUUGGAAAUGCAUGAAAAAUGUUGUUUUAAGUCUUGUAUGACAUUCAGUAGUAAACCAUUUGAAUUGUGGGCAGAUUUGGCCAAAAUUGUUGACACAUAGCUGCGGCAAUGUUGUAAUUAGAAAAUGCAGAAGUUUGCGACUUGUUUUCCUGAUUUGUUUGGGUCAGAGUUUAGUGUGAAUGUAGAUCAUUUCUGAUGUAUUUUGAAACUGAAAGUUUGUUGGAAACUCAUGGUAUGAAUUGCUGAAGUCACCAAGUUAUUUAAAAGUUCCUCCUUUCAAAAACACAGCAAGCAAAAGCUGCUGCAUUUUUUCGGUCUUUUCCCUGCCGCAUUUCCUUUCCUUUGGUUGCUGGUUAAGUUUUGCCCUUCAGUUUCAUGUUUGAUCUUGUGUUGGAGGGAAUCAAUGGAAGGUUGGGUGUUGAGUUUGAGUGUUUAAACAUCUAAAAUAUUUGAGCUGGAAAGUGGAUUUCAGAUUGCCAAAGUAUUCUACAUGAAUGUCUGUCCAGAUUUUCUGUAAUGCAUUAGCUCCUUCAUUGUUCUUGUUUGUUUGGAGUUGAGUUAAGCAGCUUGUUGUUUAGUUAGAGUUAAGAUGCUGGUUUGAGAAAUAUCUAAUCAAAGCUUUGUAUUUGAAUUAAAAAUCUGGUUUGCAUGAUGAAAAGAAAUGCCGUGGCUGAAAAAUUGUAGAAUGCUGCAGAGAAAAUUUUCCAGAUUUGCAUGCUCUCUUUCCUUGAAUUGUUGUGUUUACACAUAAGAGUUUUAUGAUUAAAAAGUGGAAAGAAUGUUUGGUAAUCUUGUCCAAACCUUUGUUGCCUAAGUUGUUCCUUGCGUUUGAACUGCAUCAGAAACCCUGAAAGUUGCAAUAAAAGAAAACGCAGCAUAGCUUCAGCCGAGUUGCAUGAGUUUUUGGGGGUGUUUUUCUGCCUUUUUUUGUUGCAUGUUCAGCUGUGUUGUGUUAAUCAAAGUGUUUAGUUGUUAAAUGGUGAUUGAGUGAGGGUCUUUGGUGGCUUUUGUUUGAAGUUUUCUAUGAAACCUGCAGUUGAGAGUUUAAAGUUGCAAAAAGGAAAAAUUCUGGAUGAAUGUUGCAGCAGAAAAUUUGCUUCAUCAUUUUUGCAGGCUCUUUUUGUUUGAUUGAUUGUUUUGUUGCAUUAUAAAGUGGGUAGAUCAAGUGGUGUUUUGUUAUUUUGUGCGAACUGCAUUUGUUUUGGUCUAAAAGCCUAAGGAAGUUCACAAAUUAUGAAGAAGUGCAGCUGGUUUGGCAUUGCAGAAAUUGUUUGUUGCAGAAAUUCUUCUUCUACGUGAUUUGCAUGCAUGGAACUUUCAAAAAUUUGCACUUUGGCCCCCAAGUCUCUCCUUGUUCCACUAGAACCCAAUCAAUUAAAUAAUUUCAUCAAUUUGGUCCUUGGCAAUUUUAAUUUGUGCAACUUCAUGGCUUGUUUUGUUUCAAUUAACUACCAUGUUUUGUCAAUUGCACUUAAGUCAUGACUUUAGGGGUUUCAUGACCGAAUGAGCUCGUGUUUGCCUAUUUUUUUAAUUUCCCUAAAAUAAAUUGGUUGUUUGACCUUUUCUUGGCUCUUGAGACCUUUGGAGUGCUUAAAUGUUUCGAUUGAAUUCGAAUGGUUGACUAAGGUUUGCAAUUGGGUCUUUAAUUGGUAAUUGGGUCCUUGGUGGGUCCUUUUUCUGAAACUUAUGCAUUAUUUGAUUUCAUUUAAAUUGCAAUUAGGAGAGAUUUGGUGACUUUGUUAUACUUUACUAUUUGAGGUACCUUGACAUUUUUAUUGUUUUGAAGCCAUUUUUCUUUCAUUUGGACACCAUUCAAAGGGGCGGUAUAAUUUCUUUUAUCCCUUUUGUUUCUCUCCUAUGUGACCCAACGUGUUAAGUGAAUUGCAUGCCUACUUUGCUUUCCUAGUUUUUUCUCAAUUCCUUUUACUUAUGUCAUUUACUUUCAUUUUCAUGAAGUUAUUCUUUAAUGGGGUAUGUGUACACCUCUUGGCUUGUAAUAGAUAGAGCUUUGGCGAGCAAUUUGGUCCAUUUUCCCCUUCCCCUUUUGUUUUAAUUAGUGAAUGUAAUAAUUUCAUUAGUUUGGUUGCAUGCCUUUGUGUUACGUGUUACUUGCUUUAUUAGGUUUUGCAUCUAGUCGAGCAUGUUAAGUGUUACGUGCUACGUGUUUAUGGGCGUUUGGCAUGUCUACUAGCUUUCUGUAGUGUAGAUGAAUGGAAUGGAUGAAUGUACGUUUCCACUAGUCCAACGCUAGUCGGAAUUCAUAGAAUGGGCUAGUCCAACGCUAGACCCUUAGGGAUUUCCCCUCGUUAGUACAUGUUUGUAUGUUCAUUACAUGUCAUGCAUUCUUUUUAGUUUUGUCAUUUUUUGCAUGCCCCCGAUUCCCUUUCCCCUCACUUUAGGACUUGCAUCUCAUGCUAGUUAGGGUACAUUUGCCUGAAGAGUCCCCUUCUGAUAAGGGAAACGAGCGAGUGUGGCUACUCGAUAGCCUUAGCACGCUAGUUCCGCCUUCUAAUCAAAAGGGAAAAUCGAAGUCGAAAAGUUAGAAGUCAACCCCCGUACCCGACUUGUUGCAUUCCCCUAGGGUCAUACUUUCAUUUUUAUCACUUCCAUACUCUUUUAAUCACAUUUUUCUUACAUUUCGCAAUCCAUAUUUUUCACUACAUCUUUAUCAUUUAUUUACUUUACUUCACAAAUGAAAUUCAAGUUUCACUUAUAUAUGUACUAUUCUAUCUUCAUUCAUUUGCACACACAAACACUUUGAUUUUUCAUACAAAUUCACACAUGCACUUUCUUUACACAUUCGCACACAAACACUUUGUUUUUACAUGAAUCUUUUCAUACACUUGCACACUUGCACUUGAGUCACCAUUUGCAUCAAUCGACCUCUAUGAGGUUUCCCUUUAUUGGCCGCCACAAUUCAUGUGGUUUGGGACCAAAAACCUCACGAGAGACAUCAUAGAAUUUAGGAUUGCAUUUCUCAUUUAUUAGUCUUUGUCCAAAUUGUAAAUACAUACUUUGGGUAGGAAAAAUUAGGAAAAUAAGGGUUAAAUCACGCAACUAGCCUUGGCUAGGUCGAAGGGGUGCCUUGGAUUUUUAUCCUUGCCUUCCCCUUCGUCAAAUGUGACUCCCGAACCUUUUUCUUUGUUUGCGUGGACUAGGAGUCGUUCAAAAGGGUUUCUUACUUUUUUCCUUAAAAAUUCACUUUUUGGGUGACUUGGUACACCCUAACUCUAUACCAAGUGGCGACUCCAUUUUUCAUAUAAAAAACCCUUUUUGAACUAUUUUUCUUGGGUCAAAUCGUCGCAUUUUCAAAAGUCCCAUUUAGACCCAUUUUUAUUUUUAUCAAAAAAUUCACUUUUUCCAAACCAAUAAAAUCACAAAAACAAGUAUUUUAUUUUUUCCAAAAAAGUGGGGCGUGACACACACCAAAAAGAUUAAAAUGGAACGAAAUAACUAUACCAAGUGAAUUUGAAAUUAAAAAUCCACAAAUAGCUAGAAACAUAGAACAAACUACUGCAGAAGAUAUUAUAGAAAAAGCAGAUGGAAGUACACUCAUAAGAUUCACCUCAUUAAGAGAAAGACCAGAUAUUCUGCUAUUCAUGGUUACCAGCUUUUCUAGUUAUUUGGUCAGAUAAUUAAAUAUACAAGGAAAUGGUCUAUUAGCAUUUAUCUAAUAUUACAUUUGAGGGUUGCAAUACUAACAUGAUAUUGUAAUAAAAUAUUUAGUCUAUUUAGUCUAUUUAAUCUAAUAGGAAUCUUAUGCCACAUUCAAAUAGUCUAUUUUAAUUUCUAUUUUAUUAAAAUCCAUAGUUUUAUGUAUAUCUAAAUUUCAAGAUGGUUUAUAUAAUAAGAAAUUCUUGAUUAGAAUAGAUUGUAAAUCUGCAAAAGAAAUUUUACAAAAAGAUGUUCAAAAUAUAGUUUCAAAACAAAUAUUUGCAAGAUGGCAGGCUAUUUUAUCUGUAUUUGAUUUCGAGAUUGAAUUUAUCAAAGGAGAAAAUAAUUCUUUACCAGAUUUUCUUACUAGAGAAUUUCUACAAGGACAUAGAUCCAGCAAUGAUAGCUCAAAGAAAUGCUCGUGAAUAUUCAAAUUAUUUGAGAUCACAACGAGAUUCUCCAAAGCUUCAGAACAAAGAAAAAAUGAUUCAAUCCAGAGGAUAUGUAUAUUCCAUUCAGACCCAGAAUGGAAGACAAGUUAUUCCAGCCUACCAAAUUCCUAAAUACGAUGAAAUUUAUGUUCAAAAAUAAUUCCUUUGUAUCGGGCAAAAAUCAUACAAGCAGUUUUAGAAUUCCUUUGUAAAAUCCUCUCAAUCACUCUUACCUACUCCCAACUACUUUCAAUCCCUCUUUUCAAACUCUUGUACACAAUUGUCAAAUAUAAAGUCAAGGUUGAAGACUUAUAUUCUACAAAGCUUUCGUUAGCAACUCAAAGUUAUUUGUAAGUCCUAAUCUUUAUGCUUAUUGCAAUCAAAGUCCAUACUGACUUCAUGCUUGUAUAUAAAUAUUAUUCAAGUCUAGCAAUUAUUCAAGUCUAGCAAGUAUUCAUGCUUGAAUACUAAAAUAUUUCCCAUUUAAUUAUUCAAGAAGAUAAUUAAGCUUUUUAAUCUUUCCAAAUAUUCUUUUUUAGCUAUUGGAUCGUCAAUUUUUUCUAUUAUAUCUAAUAGGAAUUCUUUGUCUUCUUUUUUAGUUAUAACAUUUAUAUAUUUUGGAUUACAAUUACAAUCUCCUUCACUAUCUGAACUAGUAAUAUCAUCAUAAUAGUCUUCUUCUGAACUUUUAUCCUUUUCAUUUAUUAACAAAUUUAUUAGUUUAUUUUUAAUUUCUUCUUCGUUUGAACAAAUUUCAGUUAUUUUUUCUUUUAAUCUACAUUUGUUGGCUAUUUAUAUUGCAAACCUCAUUUGAAAUACUUUUUUAUCAGAACCAUUGCAACCCUCAAACGGCCCUCUGUUUGGAUUGCUAUUUUAUGGAAUUUUUAUUUAAAAAAAUAUAAUAUAGUGAUUUGACGUAUAUAAGGUAAAAAAAAAAAGAUUGAAAAAUGUGUUUACGAAAACGUAAAAAUGUGUUCAAGGGCAAAUAUUGGGUCAGUUGUAGCUUGAGGGGAAUUUUGCCAAUCUAGUCUCUGAAUAUUUUGACUAAAACUAAUUUCGUUCUUGAUAAAUUGUUUUAACCAAUUUAGUCCUUGAAUAAGUUUCUUACAUCCAAUGUAGGACUUUUCACUACAUUUUACUCAAUCCACAUGGACCUAUUGGGGCAUAAUCAUCACACUAGCCUAAUCUUUUGCAAUUAAUCAGCGAAACAGAUUAGUAAGAUCAUUAAAAUAAAGGGGUAAGCAUCUAGUUUUUGAAGACAUUGGGGCUCCUCACAAUUUCUCAAUUCUCUUUGUGAAGAAGCUCCAAUAAGAUGCAUCCGCGAAGAAACUACCUCAAUGAUGCAUCAAGUUCGAGCAGCUGCCAAUAAUCAAAUCAUGAGAAUGAAGAAAGUGGAAAAUUAUCAGAGGUGAAGAGAGGGAAGGUAGAUCACUACAAUGGAGAUGAGGUUGCGUUUUGUGAUUGUAAUGAAUCGUGUCAAAUCGCUACUACAUGGACAUUGUCGAAUCUUGGAAGAAGAUUCCAUGGUUGCAAGAAUUAUGGGGUAUUUUUUUAUUUUGUCAAUAAAUGUGAGGGGAGUUUUUUUGGCAAUAUAAUUGGAUAUGGGUAUUUAGUAGUAAUUUCUAAUUUAGUUCCAUUUGCAAUAAUAAGCAAUCUAAUUUCUACAUCUAAUAGGGGUAUUAAUAUUGAUUACAACCGCCGAAGGCUUGCAAGUGCUUUUUGUGGUUUGAUCCACCAAUGUCGAAGAUGACGAAAAAUAUGACGGCAAAAUUCUUGAAGGAACCAAGGAAAGCCAAACAAGAGAACCAAUUCAUAAAAAAUUGAACUUGCAAGGUUGGAAGAAGAGAACAAGAUGAUGAAGGCUGAAAUUCAAAAGCUAAAAGAUAAGAGCAAAUUGAUAGUUUUGUUGUCAUUUGUUGUGGUUGUUUGUUAACUACUGUGCUUGUUGGCAACGACAAAAGAGGACAUGCUGUCUUGGACUUAGGGCUCCAAAUGUUAGUUUAGAUGAAUUAGGGAAGGCUAUGUAGUUAGAUUUAGCCUUUUGUCCACGAAACUUGCAAAGUUGCUGUGAUUGGCCUUAAUUUUUUUGGUUAUAGUGUGGUUGUAAGGCAUUGUAAACCAUUUGAUGUAGCAAUUGUCUAAGUAAUAUAUGCAAUGGUUUGACAAAUUGAGAAAUCUGGAUAUAUGCAAAGGCUAUGGCAACUUGGUGUCUAAAAAAUAUUUGACAGAAUUUCACCUUAAAAUUUGAUAUUCCGUUAACAUAACUAAACCAAGUAACACUCGACAAAUGUCUAGCCAAAAAAAGACAAUAGGAAGUUUUCAUAUAACCAACAUGUUCUAGUCGUCCAAAGAGAUCAAUGCCAAGCUUUUAGUUCAUGUCUAGCCAACAAAUACAAGCCAAGGUAACAUAGGCAGACUUUUACAAAACAGUGACCCGGUUCAUUCUCUAUGCUUCCCCUACAAGAUCAGUACACUAUAAUUACAAUUGCAAGAUCUAUAUUAAGAAAACUUCAUUCCCUAAAUUCUUUGCUUUCAUGAAUAUCUUGUAGACCUGUAGUACGGUGAUGUGUACACUAAGUUCCAAAUGCACCUUCUCCUUAAAUUCCUUAACAGUCACUUUCUUAUUCAACAUUAAAAAUUUUGCAUACUUUCUAGUUAGAAAAUCUGAAGUGGCUCUUUCGUGGUAAAAUGUCCGGCCAUAAGUGCUCAGGUCCCACAGUUUUCAUCGCAAGGUAGUCAUCACUUGAUUCAAUCUUAAACAGCAUCCAUUCACAAACUUCUGCCUUGCAUUUAACUCUCAUCCAUGUGGCAUCUUAUUUUUCCUACUAAAUAUCUUUGCCCCACUUGACUAUGUAGUUGUCCAUUGCUAAAUUGAACAACUUUUUAUCAUCAAAGACUUGUCCAACAUGGAAUUUAGGAUCUUCCAUGUUAACUUCAGGCCUGAACCUUACUAGACUAGGCUUCUUAGGCUUCCUUUUCUUUCUACUGUCUUCAUUUGAGGAAGAGUGGUCACUGUUCAACUCAUCUAAGCCAAGUGAUUCAAAUUCUUCAUGGAUCGGAAUAUGAUCUCCUUCAUCCAAGUGCAGGUCCUUAAAACUAGUAGGUUUGGCCCUAGGUUUUUUCUUCUUAGCUACAGGUGUUGGAAUUUUAUGGUUUUUACCCUUCUUGCCCCUAUUUUUCCCUCUACCACUAGGUUGAAUCUUCCAAUUCAACCCCCUAACUCUUGCUCAGGAGGAGCAAUGCCACUAUAGAAUAUCAUAUCUUCAUCAUCAUGACUAAAAUCGUAAUCACUGUGGUGGAUGUUUUCACCAAGGGAUGAAUCCGAAUGGGCAGCAUCAUUGGGCCUGUUUGGAACCUGAGUUUUUUGGGAGUUUGUCUAAAACUUUACUGUAGUGCACUGUAGAAGUUUUUGAAAAAAUUUUGUAGAAAUUUUUGUAAGGUGAAAAAUUUUUGUGUAGAAGUUUUUGAAAUGUUACUGUAGACGUUUUUUGGAUUAUUUUUAGAGGUAUUUUUAAAACACAUUUUUGAGUAUUUUAUAAUUUAUAAUUUUUAUAUUUUUAAACAUUUAUGCAUUUACAAUACAUUUAUAAAUAUUUAUAAAUAUUUAGAAAUAAAUAUAUUUAUAUAUUUAUAUAAAAAUAUAUAAAUGUAUUAUAUUAUAUAUAAUACGUAAUAUACAUAUAUUUAUAAAUGUAUAAUUAAUAUAAAUGUAUAAAUUAUAAAUGAAUAUUAUAUAAAUGUAUAAAUUAUAAUUUAUAAAUGUAUAUGAUGAUUAUGUAAAAAUGUAUUAAUAUAAUUAAUAUAAAUAUAUAAAUGUAUUAAUAUUAUGUAUAAAUGUAUAAUUAAUAUUGUUUAUAAUUUAUAAUUUAUAUUGUUUAAAUAUUUAUAUGCAUUUAUGCAUUUAUAAUACAUUUAUAAAUAUUUAUAAAUAAAUAUAUUUAUAUAAAAAUAUAUAAAUUUAUUAUAUUAUAUAUAAUACAUAAUAUACAUAUAUUUAUAAAUGUAUAAAUGUAUAAUUAAUAUAAAUGUAUAUAUUAUAAAUGAAUAUUAUAUAAAUGUAUAAAUUAUAAUUUAUAAAUAUAUAUGAUGAUUAUGUAUAACUGUAAUAUAAUUAAUAUAAAUGUAUUAAUGUAUUAAUAUUAUGUAUAAAUGUAUAAUUAAUAUUGUUUAUAAUUUAUAAUUUUUAUUGUUUAAAUAUUUAUAUAUAUUUAUGCAUUUAUAAUACAUUUAUAAAUAAAUAUAUUUAUAUAGUUAUAUAAAAAUAUAUAAAUGUAUUAUAUUAUAUAUAAUACAUAAUACAAAUAUAUUUACAAAUGUAAUAAUUGUGUAUUAUUAUAAAUGAAUAUUAUAUAAAUAUAUAAAUUAAUAUAUUAUAAAUAUAUAAAUAUAUAUAAAUGUAUUAAUAUAAUUAAUAUAAAUGUAUAAAUGUAUUAGUAUUAUGUAUAAAUGUAUAAUUAAUAUUGUGUGUUAAUAUUAUGUAUAAAUGUAUUAAUAUAAAUGUAUAAAUAUAUUAGUAUUAUGUAUAAAUAUAUAAUUAAUAUUGUGUGUUAAUAUUAUGUAUAAAUGUAUUAUGUUAUACAUAAUACAUAAUAUAAUUGUAUAUAAAUAUACAUAAAUAUAUAUACAUAAAUGUGCAAUAUAUAUAAUAUGUAUUAUAUAUAUUAAAUAUAUAAUAUAUAAUAUAUAUAAAUUUAUAAUUACAUAUUUAUAUUAAUAUUAAUUUAUAUGGUAUAUAAUAUUUAUAUAAAUAUAUUUUAAAUAAAAUAAAAUAUUUAUAAUAUGUUUAAAUAAAUAUAUAAUAUAUAUAAUAAAUAUUUUAGGGUGAAGGACUCAAAAAUUCAAAAAAAAUUUUUGAGGUUACCGGCGCCGGGAGAGGUGGUGGAGGCGGUGUCUAAUGUGGUGGGUUGGGUGAGGGAGGAAGAAAAGUUUUUGAGAAAUUUUUUGUGUAUAGGGGCUUGUUUGGCACUCUAGUUUUUUACCAAGUUUUUUAGCUACUAGUUUUUUAACAACUUUUGCUACAGGAAGCUCAAAAAACUUUUCAAAGUUUUUUACCUACACACUUCAAAAAUUAUACACAAAAAAUUUCUCAAAAAAUUUUCUUCCUCCCUCACCCAACCCACCACACCAGACACCGCCUCCACCACCUCUCCUAGAGCCGAUCACCUAUUCCGGCGCCGCCGGCAACCUCAAAAAUUUUUUUUGAAUUUUUGAGUCCCUCACCCUCAAAAAUUUAUUAUAUAUAUUAUAUAUUUAUAAUAUUAUAUAUUUAUAUAUAUAUUUAAACAUAUUAUAAAUAUUUUAUUUUAUUUAAAAUAUAUUUUUAUACAUUUAUAUAAAUAUUAUAUACCAUAUAAAUUAAUAUUAAUAUAAAUAUGUAAUUAUACAUUUAUAUAAAUAUUAUAUAUUAUAUAUUUAAUAUAUAUAAUACAUAUUAUAUAUAUUACACAUUUAUGUAUAUAUAUUUAUGUAUAUUUAUAUACAAUUAUAUUAUGUAUUAUGUAUAACAUAAUACAUUUAUACAUAAUAUUAACACACAAUAUUAAUUAUACAUUUAUACAUAAUACUAAUAUAUUUAUACAUUUAUAUUAAUUAUAUUAAUACAUUUAUACAUAAUAUUAUAUAUUUAUACAUUUAUAACAUAUUAAUUUAUAUAUUUAUAUAAUAUUCAUUUAUAAUAAUAUACAAUUAUUACAUUUGUAAAUAUAUUUAUAUUAUGCAUUAUAUAUAAUAUAAUACAUUUAUAUAUUUUUAUAUAACUAUAUAAAUAUAUUUAUUUAUAAAUGUAUUAUAAAUGCAUAAAUAUAUAUAAAUAUUUAAACAAUAAAAAUUAUAACUUAUAAACAAUAUUAAUUAUACAUUUAUACAUAAUAUUAAUACAUUUAUACAUUUAUAUUAAUUAUAUUAAUACAGUUAUACAUAAUCAUCAUAUACAUUUAUAAAUUAUAAUUUAUACAUUUAUAUAAUAUUCAUUUAUAAUAUAUACAUUUAUAUUAAUUAUACAUUUAUACAUUUAUAAAUAUAUGUAUAUUAUGUGUUAUAUAUAAUAUAAUACAUUUAUAUAUUUUUAUAUAAAUAUAUAAAUAUAUUUAUUUAUAAAUAUUUAUAAAUGCAUAUAAAUAUUUAAACAAUAAAAAUUAUAAAUUAUAAACAAUAUUAAUUAUACAUUUAUACAUAAUAUUAAUACAUUUAUACAUUUAUAUUAAUUAUAUUAAUACAUUUAUACAUAAUCAUCAUAUACAUUUAUAAAUUAUAAUUUAUACAUUUAUAUAAUAUUCAUUUAUAAUUUAUCCAUUUAUAUUAAUUAUACAUUUAUACAUUUAUAUUUAUUUCUAAAUAUUUAUAAAUGCAUAAAUGUUUAAGAAUAUAAAAGUAUAAAAAUUAUAAAUUAUAAAAUACUCAAAAAUAUGUUUUAAAAAUACCUCUAAAAAUAAUCCAAAAAACGUCUACAGUAACAUUUCAAAAACUUCUACAAAAAAGUUUUUCACCUUACAAACACUUCUACAAAAUUUUUUCAAAAACUUCUACAGUGCACUACAGUAAAGUUUUAGACAAACUCCCAAAAAACUCAGGUUCCAAACAGGCCCUAGAUUUUUGAAGUGUGUAGGUAAAAAACUUUGAAAAGUUUUUUGGGGGUUCCUGUAGCAAAAGUUGUUAAAAAACUAGUAGCUAAAAAACUUGGUAAAAAACUAGGGUGCCAAACAGGCCCAUUAUCAUUAGAGUUGUUGGUGAGCCGAGUAGCUCGCGAGUAGUUCGAUCAACAACUCGACUCGAACUCGGGUUGACCGAGUUCGAGUCGAGUUUCGAGUAACUCGACUCCAAAUCAAGUCGAGUAUCAAGCUCCAUUUUCCGAGCUCGUGGCUCGUCGAGUAGCUCGACGAGCCAGAGUUAAUUAAAUAAAAUAUUUAUAAUUUAAAUAAUAUAUAUUUAUUAUAAUUAUAAAAUGACUAUUAUGGAUAUAAGUUAUAUGAAAUUUACAAUAUUACCUUCUUUAUAAUAAAAUCCUAUAAUGGCAAAAAAGUAAUAACAUAAUUGUAAAAAACACUAAAAAGAAAAAAUGUCUAAAAAAAAAAAGGAAGAAAAGACUUUCUUCCUUCUCUGUGCCGACUGUGCGACUUUCUUCUCUGUUCGAAGCCUAGCAAAAAAAUUCACUUUACCAAUCUACACCCUCACUCCGUUCGUCGCCGACGCCGUUGCUCGCCGCAUCUGUGAGACUCCAUCGCCAUCGCCAUCGCCUUAACAAGUCCCAAGUCCCAAAUCGAAGCUGCUCUCUGCCUCUCCUGCCUCCGCCAGUCCGCCGCGCUGUACGUCUCCUGUCGGCUGUGUCCUGCCGUGCUGGUUCAUCGCUGCCGAGUGUCGAAGACGAAGCACCAAGAUCUCACUAGUUCAUCGCUGGUUCAUCACUGCUCAUCUCUGGCUCACUUAGGUAAGUGCUCCUCUGUUUUUGGCUCUGUGUCUCUGGCAUUAAAAUGGGCCAAGAUCGACUAGGAAACUUGUUAUCCUGAAUUGAUAAGGGGACGAAAUCUGAGCUUCCAAUUGCAAACUCUAACUGUUGUAGUAGUUUAGAUUAGGUGUGAUAUAACAUAAGCUUUGUAUUUUAUACACAAGAAGCUCUCUCCAGUUGUGCAGCCUUUAAAAGUUAAGGCCUUGGUGAAAAAUUCCACCUUUUACCCGUUAGAAAGAUUGGCCUCAUGCUUUUGAAUAUACAUGCCGCAUACGUUGAUUGAGCUGAAUGUCUUGGUUUCUGAUCAUUUUUGGGCUAGUUAUUGCUUUAAUUUGAGUGAGAAUCCGGCAAAAUUUUAAUGCCCAUUUACUGUUCGACAAAAUGCUUGAUUGAAAGUUUUAGUUGAAGGGUGAUUGGUCUGCAUUUUUGCACAUGAAAAAUACUGGCCAAGUCGGCCAGUUCACUUCCUCGCAUCUAAGAAUUUUUGGUGUGUUGAUGUCUUACAUUUUUCUGCUCCUUAUGCUUCCGGUCGAGUGAAUUCGAAUUGAUGUUAUGAGAGGGAGUGUUGUGAGUCUCAUUGUUUGUUGGAAUGGUUAGAAAUUGAAGCCAGAUUUCUGGUUGCUGAAUGGUAAUUGAUAUUUGCUCGUUGGAGAAGAUGAUCACUUGUCCAAAAUUGCAAUUUCAGUCCCUCCGUUUUCUUUUUGUUUAGUGAUUUGGUCCUGUCUUUUCCUGAGCUUCAUAUUUGCCUCCAACACCAUCACAAGUCCCUUAAUUAGGUCCCUGCUUUGUUGCAUUUUCGUCAAAUCGAGUCAAAAAGCUUGAUAAGACUCGACUUGAUAAGGCUCGAUUAAAGAUCGAGCCUUAUCGAGUCGAGUCUCGAGCCUAAGGAAAUUCUUCGAGUCGAUCUUCGAGUAUCGAUUUUCGGGCUCGAUCGAGCUCGAGUCGAGCUCGAGUUUCUGUGUGUAUGAGUCGAGUCGAGCUCGAGUAUAGUGAUACUCGAGCUCGACUCGGCUCGAUUACAUUUAUCAUCAUUUCCUCUGUGUUCAGCAGCCUCUGUUUUUCCAUUUUUGGACUUUACAUGCUCCAUCAUUUACUCCACAUAAAUUGGUAUGUUUUUGAGGUCAACUAGUUCAACAUCAUCAAAGGUUAUAUCCACAUGUAAACCAUCUUCUUCUUGUUGAAUCUUCUCAGCAAUUACUGCGCUUGGACCAGUGUUGCUAUUAAUAUCUCUUAUGUGGAAUUCAUGGACACCAUACACAUCAGUUUCUGCAUAUUUUUUACCAAUGCAAACAGGAUCCUCACCAUCUAUUAGCCAAAGCUUGAGCACAUUAGUUUCACAGGGGAUUCUAUACAUCAUCUUUGAAUCAUUCGAACAGCCCACAAGAGUGCAGAAGUCAUGCAAAAUUGAUGUACUAACUCUCAUUGGAUUAACUCCUUCAAAUGUUUCUAUGCAACCCCCUACAUAUGUCUCUUAUGGAUCUUUAAUAUAUACACCGCCAUAAUGCACUGUCAAAGUAAAAUAGUCCACAUGUUAACUUGCUUUUUUAUUUCCAACAAAAAACAAAACACAAAAAUUCCUUCAUUCUUUAGAAAUAAAGAACCUUGGUCCCAACUAUGUGUAACUUUUCAUGAACAUGAAAGUUACGACACACUAUAAUUUAAAGGCAAAGGGACCGCAUCACAGCUCACAAAACAAACAAAAGUUACUUUAAAAACAUAUUAAAAAAUACCAAAUUUCGCCGACACAGUCACAAACAUACAAUUUUAUUUAAUAAUUAUCAAAAUUUCACCAUCACAAAUCAUAAGCAAACAAAGUAAAAUUUCAGAAGUAUACCAUAACCAAAGUAAAUACUUUCUUUUCCAUGUGGAAAUCUAUAUGUAAUUUAACAAAAAAUUUCACCAUUUCCGAAUCCGUUCAUGCCCCACCACAACUAUACGAUACUGGAAAAUUAAACCCCCUCCCUCAAAUCCUUCCAUUAUAUAUUAUUUCACCAAUUCAACACACUAGUGGCACUAAAAUCGACCAACUAAUACAUACGGGUAGAGAGAGUUAGAUUUGAAAUUACGGCUUACUUGAUCUUGUUGAUGACUUUGAUUGAUUUUUGCCAUCCUUGUCACCAUCGCCAAUGUCCACUGCAGAACUUGCGAUGUUCUCGAUUCGAUUCUAGCCUCCAUUGUGAUUUUAUCGAAACCCUAGUUCGUCCCCCAAUUUCUCCCAAUUACAUUCUAUUUUUUUUAGAUUAAUCCCAUGGGUGAGGUGUUCGUUGAUUAAUUGCAAAAGAUUAGACUAGUGUGAUGAUUAUGCCCCUGUAGGUCCACAUCAGUGAAAAAUCCUACGUUGGAUGUAAGAAACUUCUUCACCAACUAAAUUGGUUAAAAUAAUUUAUCAAGGACAAAAUUAAUUUUAAUGAAAAUGUUUGGAAACCAAAUUGGCGAAAUUCCCUAACUUUAGUUAUUGCGUCAGCAGCAUCCAAUCCCGCCCAAAAUGAAACAUUAUCCCCUCUGAGACAGCACACAAUUGACACAAAUAUCCCAAACAAAAAUCAUUCCCUUUCCCUCUCCCAAAACCACCAUGAUCACCACGCAACUCCUCCUCGCACCACCGCCACGGCCACUGCUCCCCAUUUUCUCUCCUAAACCGUCACUACCCCCAAUCACCACCUCAGUUAAGUCCCCCACUAUUCACCUGCCAAUUACAAAGCCCAUAAUCUCCAGCAGACGAGACUUUCGGGUCUGGGCCGACGACGGAGACGGGGACAGCGGCAGCCCCGACGACUACGACAUGGACGACGAAGAAGCCGAGGAAGUAGACAACAAGAAAGACUUCGACGUUGACUACGACACCACCACCGCCAUUUCCGCAGCCGCGGCCGGAGGAGAGGAUGACAUUCUGAUAGUUCAGAGCAAGAGCUUUAUUUCUACUCAGGGUUGGGAUUCCGAGAAGAUUGUGGAAUAUAGGAUUAAUGAAGAGGAGUUUCAUAAAAUUUGUUUGCUCGACUGUGAUUUCUUUAUUCGGAAACCUCCUGACCUCGACGACGACGUUUACGACUUCCGGGAGGUAGGAGAGUUUUCUCUUUCAGCAUUGUUCACUCUUCUAGGGUAGUGGUACCUUUUGGCUACAUUGUGUUGUACAUUAUGCUGCAAAGUUGUACCCUGUGAAUUUUUUUUGGGCUGAAUAGUAGUAAGGUACCUUCUGGCUUAAAUAUUGCAUAGUAUGUUGUAAAAGUUUUAGCACGUUGUGAUGUAGAUUCUGUUGUACAUUAUUCUGUAACAGUUGUAUUAUGUGAUUUCUUUGUUGAUAUUGCCCAUGGGCGUUGUUAGUUUCAGUGUGAGCUUCUUAGUGCUAAAAAAAUAAGGGACGAAAAUCAUUUUUCCAAAGUGUUGUACGCUUUGCAGUAAAGAUUGUAGAUUUCUUUCUUGACUAAUGAGUAUGGUUAAAGGAUGUAUGAGGUUUCAUUUUGCAAUGUGCAGAUGUAUGUCACGCCUCCUGACACAGAUGUAUAUGCGAUCCCAAAGGUUCUUGCUCCAAUGCCUCAAAAGGUAUGCAAUGGUUUUCAGGAUCUUUUAUGUGUACGUAGACAAUGUACUAUAGGUUGUAUGCUUAUUCCACCUUUGGUACAAUAUGGUAAUGAUAGAUUUGAGGAUCUUCAGCUUUUAAUGUAGAAUAUGAUCAUAUUAGUUACUUUUGUAUAGCCAUGCCAAAAUUUGAUUGAUUUGCUCACUUCAAUGGUUUCUCUUUGUUUUGUAGUACAUUCGAUGUGCACAGACUGAUUAUGGAUGCUACAAUGUAACAGAGCCACCUAUUGAUGCACCCAGAGAUCCCAUGUAUAAAUCCGAGAGGGAGGUCUUGAAGGUAUGUGUGGGAUACAGUUUGCAUUAUGCAGCUUUUCCUGUAGAUUUUGAUGCAGCUUUGCUUCCAAACUUUAUCAAAAAUUUGAAUUUUGUAUAGUUCGAUAUUUCCAUUUUGUUAGGCAGUGAGUAGUAUUUGAGUUUGUGCGAGGCCCAAAUUGUUUAAGAGUGGCAGAGAACAUUUAUGUAAAUAUUGCUUAUUUCUGUAGUAUUUUUCUGUGCUUAUCAAUUGUUAUUGCCCUUUUUAGAGGAUACUUUCUAUCGUUGUUGAUGUCAGUAUAUUUGAGUUUGUGCGAGGCCCAAAUUGUUUAAGAGUGGCAGAGAACAUUUAUGUAAAAAUUGCUUAUUUCUGUAGUAUUUUUCUGUGCUUAUCAAUUGUUAUUCCCCUUUUUAGAGGAUACUUUCUAUCGUUGUUGAUGUCAGUUGAUGAUCAACAAAUGUGGUACUAGGUGUAUAGUUUUGUAGCUCAGUUCUAGGUUUUGAGGCCAUUAGACCUUCAAUUGUAGCUCAUGAAGGGUAAGCCAAAGUUGUUGGAAAGAAAGAGCUCAUGAUGUGUCGAGUUCUCGUAAAAUGCAAAGAACUUGGUAGUGCCAUAACUAGGAAUACAUGUGAAGUUCUUGCUCCUAAAAUUCUACUCUGUUGGAAGCUCUCAUUAAUAUAUUUAAGCCAACAUUUCUGAGCAAACUAGGGAAGGAAGUUGUAAUUCGAAGUCCAGAAAUGUGGAGGUACUGCAGUAUCCUAGCCUGGACCUAAAGUGUUGCUUUAGUCUGUGUACACAGUAAUUUCGUUUUCAACUAAAAGUCAUCCCGUGUCAAUUCUCAUCAAGUUGGAAAAAUCAUCCUCAAACUCAAAUUUGAUAUGGGGAUCAAUAGGAUUUCCAAAUAAGCUGUUCCAUAUUCUCCUUUGUUUAUCUUUGCUUCUGUUUCUUGAUCCUUCACCACGAAACUUGACUUGUAAAGAUAUCCUAGAGUGUGCCUAACCUAAAUUGGUUGAAAUGUUAUUUGCGGAUUUCUACCUGCUGGUACGCUAAAAAUAUUAUCUGAUUUAUUGAUAUAAACAUCUACGUCAUAUUGUUGUUUCCUUAAUAAGCCACCAUUUUGCUUUGCUUGUUUCGCUUCAAUGUAUUAUCUCCUUUAGAAUUUUUAGUGAAAGAUAUGCACUUGUCUCUCUCAAUUUGUUUUUGUCUAUGGAAUUGUUGGUUAAAUAAAUCUGUCUUUCUAUUUCCUAUAUUUGACCAAUUCUUUUGGUUUAUUGUGCAGUUAAGUAAAUGUUAUUCCCUGUCAACUCUGAAGGGUUGUUUGAGCAAUUUUGAAUACAAAAUCAUCAAAACUACCCCUUUUUUUGUUUUCCUAUUAUUUUGUAUUUUACAACCUAUUUAAACAAGUCUGGUGUUCCUUUUAUGCUGUGACAAGGUUGAGCCAUGAUUAAAAUAUCUUCCUUCCUGAAUAGCAUGAUUGUGUUUUAUUGCAGAUUUUCCUGACGAAGCAUUAUAGAAACCGCAGAUCUGGUGAUCCUGAUUUCAUGCUUGAUUUUGAGGAGAUUUAUGUAAUUGAUUCAAAGACAAAAUCAAUAACAAGAGCUAAAGUUGUGGUAAGGAAUCGUAUGGGCUUUGAACUAAUGGUUUAAGUCUUGCUUUUGAGUUUACCUUCUCAGAAUGCCUUCAUCGAAAUUCUGUGCUUCUUAGGCUGGAGUAUGAAGACAAAUUUUUACACUAAAGCUUAUACUAUUGUACUGGUAAAAAAGGGAUGUCCGGUACAAUAGGUGCUUUGUCCUGACAUAUAGGCUUGACAAAUCAACAUAAUAUGGUUUUUUCCUCCGGACUAGGUGACUGUACCAGACGGGAAAAACAGGGACAGGAGGAAUGAUCUGCUUGUUAUACGUGACAAUGGAAAUUCCUUCAGAAUAAUUCCUCCGGUAACUGUUCUUUUUAUCUCGGAUUUAUACUUAUUUAUGGUGGCUUUUACUUCAGCUGCUAGACUUACAUAUCUUGUUUGUCCUAGAAUGAAAGAGAUACUCCAACAGAUGUGAUAGAGAAGGAAGAAUGGAGCAAAACUAGGCAAGACAUGGAAAGACACCUGAGUAAGCUGAGAGAUUUCAGUGUGUCAAAUUGGUUCUAGCCAACUAGUAUUGUGAUUAAGAAAGUUCUGGGCGUUGCUUUCCAAUGAAUGUCGUGCUGCCAAUUGGAACUGUUCAGAGUAUGAUCCAUAAUCGUGAACAUUUCCGUACACGGCCAGCAGCUACCCGUGACCUUAUCUAGGACGCAUUGCAAACCCCAAAGAGCUGCUGCUCUAAGGAUGAUCAUACUUGUUAGCUUCAAUGUAUUGCCAGCGGUGACAAGUCGGCUCGUCACUUCGCAUUCACCAAGUGGAAGAAACUUGUUAGUUUAAUUCACCUGUUUCUUCUGUAGCUUUCUUGUGUAGCUGCAUGCCUAUUUCCCAGGAACUUGGAAGCUUUGGUAGAAGUUUUAUGCAGCAAAAUCAGCACUAGUAGGCGCAGAAAGGUUGUUUAGCCCAUGAAAAUAUGCUUAUACAGUGUUCUUCUUGUAAGGCAAUCAUGUGAGUCAUGCCUGCAAUGGAUUUCUACCAUGAUGCUAUCGAUUGUGCCUUAAUAUAAGAGUCUUGUGCAUCGUUGGGUGCUUGACGCCCCACCCCUUUCUCAUCCCUGUGUUAUGAUCCUGCUCAUUUGCAUUCAUGAAAGGGUACAUAGUUUCGGUCCACUUAGCAAAAGGAGAAAACAUAGAGAAAAUGAAAAUGGUCUGCUGGCAUUUGUAUCGUUGUAAUUGCGCCUUUCUUUCUGACAGGCCACAAAUUUCCUUACAUGCUAACAAAACCCAAAAAACAAAAAGUCAUUUUGGGGAAAAAGAGAAAUGAUACAGCAAAUCAAAUUCAAUCGUGAAGCAUAGAGUCUGCAAGUUCAAAUUAAUAUGCGAAACUUUGAAAUUAAAAACCUCAACAAACGUGCAACAUAGAACCCUGGAAAUCUGAUCCAAGCAGGAUAGGAACUUUGAGAGUGCCAUUUCUUCUUGAUCAUCUUCAGGAGGAAAGACGGUAACGAUAAGCAGCGGAAGAAUAAAGUAACGUCGGAAAUGCAGCCAAGAAAAGCAGAGGGAAAAUAGUCUAAUCUGGAACCUGCCUUCAGCUAAAAAUUUUCUCCAUUGCUGUCAGCCUGUCACAAAUCAGAAAGCACAGCAUUAACGUCGAUUAAAUUGAAGUGAAAAUUAUUCACGAAUGGUAAAUUCAGAUUCAACUAAAUUUCAACACAGUGGGCAUUAAAUGUUUCAAGAAAUGUAUUCUUUCUGCUUUCCUUUUUUGGAAUUCAUUUCAUGAGCGGUUAAUUUUAUCUCAGAAUUUGUGUUAAUAGAUCAACAUAUUACCAUUGUUUUUAAACUCGGACCAUUAAAUGAAUCAGAUGAGCUUCUGGAUUACUAUUCAACUCGGUUCAAAUACCUUUUUAUUGUUUUAUUUAUUAUGUAAAUUAGAUGACUUUAAAAUUAAAAAAAAUAGUAUGAACUGGUUUAAAGAUAUGAUUUUUACCGGUUUUUGAUUGGUUCAGUCCAUUCUUGAUUGGAUUUGACUAGUUCAAUUGAUCUUUUAGAUUGACCAGUGAAUUGAACUAGUACCAUGAUUGAUUUGCAGUUCGACCUGUUAUCACAAAUUUGUUUUUCCAUAGUUAUCCUCUAUAGCACCAUCUUUUUAUUUCUUUUGUCAUCAACAAAAAGAAAUUAAUUAGUUUAUCAAUAACAUAACAUACAUAAAUUUUGCCAAGCAAAACAAACUUAUAGAGCAUAUUUUGCAUAAAGAUGACUAAUAGGAUUUUUCAAAAAGGAUCAUUAUUAGAUGAAAAUCUAAAAUUUUUGGCUUUAGUAAUCAAUUUCAAUGCAUAAAAAAGAAAAAAUUUUUUUAGCAUUCUCCGAGACUAUUGGUUGGAGUUCUUAAGUGUUCCAAAGCCUAUGCACUUUCUUCUUCAUCACAACAAUCCCUGAUGUUCGAAGAAUCAGUAGUCCUAUAGUCCUCACACCCCGUCAUGAAUUUUGAAAUCCUUAAAAUUAGGGAAUAAAUAUUUUCCAUAUAUAUAUAUAUUUACCCCCUACUCCUAUACACACUUUUGCCAUCUCCCAACUGACAAACUCAAGAUUCGAACUCUGAAUCAGCACAGUGCACAGAGCGAACUAUUCUUUUGCCUUUUCCAUGUAUAGCUGCUUGUAUUGAAGAUGACUCUUUUGAAUGCGGUUAAAACUAUUUGAAAUUACCAUAUUUUGACAUAAGUUUCAAUUCAAGAAACCAACCCGAUUAGGACACAACCUUAUCAAUUUCAUCUGUUAGAGGUGCUACACGAGAAAGAGAAAAAGUAACAAGACUAGUGAAGUUUAUGAUUGAGAUGAUGAAGUUACCUGUCGACAUGAGAAAGAAACUACAGAAAGGGCUUCUAUAUCUCCAGUCCGGAAAUAAGGACCUUGAGCUCCUCAUUUCCGGAGUCCCUUUGUUCUUCCUCGAUUUUCUUGACAGAAACAGCAGCAGCUUCGGCACACCAAUGCACCUCAAUUAUCUGUAAUGUGGGGAUCUCCCCAAAACUUAAUGGCACCUCCUCAAGCUGCGUACAUCUUUGCAAGACUAGCUGCUCAAGGGAGGGAAAGUGAUCAUUGGAAGCUUCCCACUGAGCAAUGUCCAGCUUGUCCAAUUUCAGGUAUUUGAGAUUCUGGAAUUCUCCUUCCCUUGUUUCCCAUACCCGUCCCUCAAAAGCUUUAAACAGUAAUUUCAAGCUCUCAAGGUUUGGUAGUCUCCCGAUUGUUGAUAUUUCAGUCCAUGGUAGGCGAAACUUUGACAGUGUCAACUUCUUGAGAUUUGCAGGGAAGCUAAAUUGACAAGGAUAAGCAACUCUACCAUGAUAAAAUAUCUUGAGUGACUCGAGGGAAGUCAGAACAUCCAGCACCGGAAAAUUCCAUGACUCCAUAAAAAUGCAUCUUAGUUUCCGAAGUUUAGGUAGCCUUCUCAUUAUUUUCUCUGUAGCUCUGCCAGGACGAAGAACUGGUGUAGAAAGGGUAUCCAGAUUGCCCAAUACACAUCGGGUUUCAAGCUUAUUGUCAUCCAAAAUGAAUGCAGCACGGUCAUUUAUGUGGACAUGCCUUAAGCUUUCCAUUUCCCAAAAUGCGUCCGGAAUUUCAACUUCGCCAGAUAGUCCCUUCAGAAGAAAAGUUUCUAACUUCCUGAGCUUAGCUAUUGAUGUCGGAACAGAAUUUACAGCUCCUCUGAGAGCUAAGUAUCUCAACUGAACAAGUAGUUCCAGUCCAGUGGGAAAAGAACUACCCAUGUUGAUGCUCUCCAAAUCCAGCACUCUUAGAAGUUUAAAGUUUUUAGAAAUGAAUGAAAUGUCAUAAGGGCACCUUGGGAACCAAUCAUUAUAGGCCAGAAAUAGUAGACUAUGUACACGAGGACCACAAGGCCUCAACAUGGUAAAAUGCUCCCUUUCGGAACAAAUGCACAGCCGACGUUGUUUGUAUUUCAGAGGAUUUGUGGAAAAAGAGCACCUAGAAUCAGCAAGGUUGUAAACUUUACCAUCAGGAGUAGUGGCGAAAUGUUCAUCAUACCCGUGGACAAGCUGGAAAAAGUUCUCCUCUUGAGCUUUUCUCUGGCAUAGCUUCCGCAGUAGAUCAUGAAUGCGGCAUGAUCUCACCCUACCGUCUGAUCUUGUUUUGGCCACGAUAACUAGGCUUCUAUGUAUCAAAUCUAGUAAGCAGUCCUCUGCAGCAUCCUCCAAUCUCUUAACACCAGUUUCUUGCAAAAACCCUUCUGCAAUCCAUAGCCUUGACAACUUUGAUACUGGAAUCUCAUGGUCCUCCGGAAAGGCUGCAAAGUAAAGAAAGCAUCUCUUCAAAUAAUCUGGCAAGUGCAGGUAACUCAACUCCAGUACACGCAGGCACCCCAUUUGUGGAUCCGUAACAAUGUGAGAGCUCAAAUUUCUCGAAACUUGUUCCCAACUAAGAGGUGUCUUUUCUGUUGUUGCAAGCAAACCCGCUAUCACAACAACUGACAGAGGUAGUCCGUCACACUUCCGUGCAAUUUCCAUCCCGACUUGCAGCAGCGAUGGAGGGCAACCUUCUUGUCCAAACAACUUUAAUUCCAAUAACUCCCAACUUUGAAUGCCAGAAAGUAGAUGAAGGAAGUAAGGUUUGCAACCUGACUUAGCUUUAAAAGCUACAUCUUCCAAUCGGCUGGUAAACAAAACUCUACUUCCAUUGUUAUCAUUGGGAAAUGAAUCUCUCAAGUCGUUCCAUGCUUCGAUAUCCCACAAAUCAUCCAUGACGAUGAGAUAUCUUCUCCUCUUUAGCCUUUUGCGCAAUUCUAGGGCCACAUCUUCGGCAUCCUUUUUCUGGAUUUGGUCAGUGGUCUCACUGAUUUGGCUCAAGAUAUCAAGUAGUAACUGUCUCUUGUUAUAUACUUGAGAGAUGCAGCACCAUGCACGAACAUAGAAGUGGCUGGUAACAGUAGGGUUAUUGAACACUUCCUUGGCCAGAGUUGUCUUGCCAAGCCCAGCCAUGCCUACAAUUGGGAUGAUAUCCCUUUCCAUUGUUCCUCUUGUUAGUCGAUCGACAACCCCCCUUUCUGCAUCUUCGAAACCUAUCACAACCUCAUCAACUGUUGGGCUACUAGCUUGUGAUUGUGCCUCACUGGAGGUCUCGGCACCUCUAUCCGCUUCAGAGUCAAACCUUUUCUCGUCAGAAAUCUCAAUCAUGUUUGCUUUUAAAAGUUUAAUCUCUUCUAUGACAGCAGAAAGCCAUAGCAUACGAAUGCAUAGGGGGCCAUCUCCAACCACAAACGAGUCAACAGCAUAUUCUAGUUCAUAUGCAAUUUUUGUAAUUCUAGUCCGAAGAACUUUCAGUUCCUCAUGGUCAUGAUGUUGCUUUACACUUUUUAUGAGGAAAGAUAUGAGGAAGUCCAAGUCCAUAUUUACCAUGUCAAGCUGAUGCUUUGCAGAAGCAAUUGAAAUAGCAUUGCAGUCAAGUAGCUCCCUCAGAUUUCCCAAGAACGAGCUUAGAAAGCCAAGAUCAUCAGUCUUGGGAUAUGGCUGCGGAAUUUGGAGAUAAAUUUGCCCGAUCUCAGCCUUCAAAAGCACUAUUUUAUCUAUCAAAUCGGAAAGCGAACGGUUCAUUUCCUUGGACAUGUCUUCUUUCGUUAAAUUAUCACCGAGCAAGAAAACUAGACAUGUGGCUUCCUUGGCCAGAGCUUCGAGUUUCAUCCAGAUCUGUUCGCCAAAUUCCUUGAACUCCUUAGGAGACUCCAAGAGAACGAUCCUGAGAAAUCUUACCCCCUCUUGAACCUUUUGAAGAGUUUGAACCGGAUCCUUCAUAUCGAUCAUCCAGCUAGCAUCGUGGCUUUGUAGUUCUGCUAAAAAGAUCUCUGCCUUGACAAGAUUAAUCUUGUCGAGUAACUUGAGCAACUGAAAGUUGGCUUCAUCAAUUGCCUCAUUUGCAUUUUCAUCGGACCAAAAUGAGAGUAUGAAGGAAGAUGACUCUUUAGUCACAGCUUCAAAAUGUUUCAAGAAUAAUUUUCCAUCCUCCGUAUCUUCCUCCAUUUUUGAGGGAUCCAUGAGAAAUUCUCUAAAAUAUUUAAGCCCCUCAUGAAGGGUUAUAAUUUGAUCAUUAAUAGGGGCUAUGAAUUCAGCCUUCUGGUCUUUUAGCCUCAUCAAAUAUAACUCUCCCUCAAUGAGCUUAAUCUUUUCCAGCAGCAAAAAAAUUUCAAGAUUCACUUCCCUUACCGUCUCUUUGGUCACCUUCUUUUCGUGCAUCAAGUGAAUGAGGGCCGUAAUCUCACGAGCCAUUGUUGCUGCAUCUUUACUGAUCUGCUUUAUAUCCUCCUCCUCCUUCUCAAGUGGAUCACUGAGGAACGAUCUCAGGAAUCCCAGACUCUGGUGAAGGCCUAUCAUUCUAUCCUUCGAAGUUGCAAUGAAACUUUCCUGAGAGUCCUGUAGCUGUAUCAGAAAUAUCUCUGCUUUGAUCAGCUUCAUCUUUUCCAGCAAGCUAGCAAACAUACGAUUCAUAUCCCUCAGUUGGUCCUCUGUUGCUUUGUUGACAAGAAAAUUGUACUCGAAACAUCCUACCUCCUUGGCCGUUGCUUUAAUAUCUGCUGAGAUUUGGUAAUAAUCUCUUGUGAUCGGAUAAGUUUGGGGCUUGAUCACAAACUCCA
RNAcentral lists this long non-coding RNA (67103 nucleotides) under Coffea arabica (coffee). Its description in RNAcentral is "long non-coding RNA (CARA_LNC007244)". The record is from RNAcentral. Lineage: Eukaryota; Viridiplantae; Streptophyta; Magnoliopsida; Gentianales; Rubiaceae.